RNAcentral lists this long non-coding RNA (46841 nucleotides) under Elaeis guineensis (African oil palm). Its description in RNAcentral is "long non-coding RNA (EGUI_LNC006971)". Lineage: Eukaryota; Viridiplantae; Streptophyta; Magnoliopsida; Arecales; Arecaceae. The record is from RNAcentral.
UCCAUUGGAGAAUUGUCUGUUGUUUUGGUGUAAAAGAAUUUGCUUUAAAGUAAGAGAAUAUGCAUCAAAAACAUAUUGUGCACAUCUUGAGAAGCAAAAUCUUAUGCAGUAUGGAUUGUUGUCAUAACCAAAAUCUGACCAAGAUCCCACUGAGGCCCAUUGUCUAAUCAUUACAUUUCAAAUGAUUCCUUCUGAAAAGCUAGUGUUGUGGAGCUACUUAAGAUUGGAAAGGAAGCCAUAUGAUCUGUUGCAUAAUGCCUGGAGUUUUCAAUGCUUGAAGAAAUUAAUCCUGGAUGUCAAGCCAUGCGAUUUUGGUCUUAGAUGAAAACGAUGAAGUUCUAGUAGUUGGAAAUUGGAAUAAACUUUCAAUUUUUGGGAGCUAUUGCUGGCCCUUGCUAGAGUGAUCAAUGAGAAAAGACAGGACAAAAAGCGAUAAUAGGGGCGAGAACAUUGUUCAGGCCUUUUAAUGAUUAAGAGGCUAAGAAGCAUCGCUACCCCUUGGCUUGACCAUGGAAGUAUGCUUCAGGGCAGGUGAAUAGAAUGCUAGAUGGUUUAUCUAGUUGAGCUUCUCAUGGUUGUCGCAUAUAGAUUCCACAAUUGAAUUAUUCUCAAGUACACCCAGUAGUUGCUUCUCUUGGUAGAAAUCUUAUGCACCUUUCUAGGUUCUUUUGAUUGAGAAAAUGGAGAAAUUGGUUUGAAUCAGUUUUUAGUUCUCAUAUAUUCUGAAACUUCCGAUAGCACCGACCACCUACCUUCUGGCCAGGAGAUACAUGUCUUGGUAGAGAGAGAUUGUGGUAGUUUGAUACAUCAGAACCAAGGAGGAAUCAGAUUAUAUGAAAAGAAGAAAAGUAACCUAAACAAGUAAUCCUGGAGAUGCGAUUGAGCUAUGAUAAAAAUGAUAUAUGUAAUUAGUUGUAAUUUAAUUAUAAAUGUAGCACAGAUGUUACGCAUUAAAGUGGUUUUGAUUGCUAAUGAAUGCUCAUACAAGAUGUUCAACACAGUCCUUGAGGUGUAUAAAAAUGCCAGCUUAUUGGAGGUUGGAACUAUGAUAAUGAUGAUGCGUGCGAUUGCUUAUGCUUAAUUUGAGUUGUUUACAAAAUGUUAUAUGCUAAAGCUUUCGUAAUUGGUAAGGAAUACUCAUGUGUCUUAAAAUGUUAUCUUAAUGAAAAUUUUGUGAAGGUUAAUACAAAUAAAGUAGGUGAGUUAAACGCUGAGUGGCUUCUAUCCUGCCGAGCUUGUGGGCUGUGUCCAUUUCUGGGCCUUGCCUGGGCUAUUUAAAAGCCUUGUUUAUGCUUCUGCUGAAGCAGUAGUAUGUAAUGUUAUAUACGAAUAACAUGUUUAAGGCUGUAGGUACUUAUGAAGGGGGUCUGACAUUCUAUACUCCAUUCAGAGAAUGAGUACUUUUGAAAUUGCCCUAUGGGAGGCCAGCUAUUCACAUGAAUUUGACCUUUUAGUAUUUGAGCUCUGCCAUUAUCAAUGAAUGGGAUUUACAACAAAAUAUUUUCUAUUUAGGAAAUUACAUCUUUUUCUCCUUUCUUGCAAAUUAUGUCGUGCAUUUGCUUGUCAUGAAUUAUAUUGAAUUUCAGGGUAAUGCUAGCAGUUACCCGUCAAGGUUCAGAUUCUAUAUUUUCCCUCGCGAAAAAAAGGGUUCUGAUUACAUAUUGCAUUAGCAUAGGUGAAGCCAUAUAGCAUCAUUAAACCAUUUUGUUCAUGAACUAAAUCUUAUAAUUAUCAAUUUCUUUUUUCCCCUUUUUCUCACUGUGUGUGUGGUGGGGGGAGGGAUAAAGUGCUUCAUUUUAAUGGUAACUAGGAUACUUCAUCAGAGUAUAAUUAAUUAAGAGAAAGAAUUUGAUCACUGUAGGUUGCUUGAAAUUAAUAUGACAUGAAACUAAGUAGAAUGAAUAUGUACUUGCCUACCCUAUUGCAAUUUUUACUUGGCUGAGGUACUAGUUUAGAGUGAACAGAUUUACUCCUAUCAAUUGUGUUGUGGUUGGAAUCCAUCCUGGGUCGGAGGCGCUGGAGCGAGGUGACGUCUGGCGGGUCGGUGGUGACCGGACCUGCAAGAAAAGCUCCCGUCGGAGGUGCCUUCGGCGGAGACUCUUUGACGCUCAAGUCAGAUUUUCUGCAACAGGUGAGAAAGAGCGAGCGUCCACCUCUGGCGGGGAUUCUUCGACGCUCAAGUCAGAUUUUCCGCAACAUGUGAGAAAGAGCGAGCGUUUAUAAGAGGAAGAGGAGGCGUGUCUGGAGGAUCUCUAUUUUAUCUUUUUAUAGGUGAGAUUGGAGUCUUGGAAAAAGGAAAGGCCAUAAAGAACCUUUUGCCCCUCAUCAUAUUCUCGAGCACCACGCCUGAUCCUUUGAUUUUUUGGGUUGGUGAGUGAUGUCACCUCAUAGCUAGUGGGGGCCGUCUUUAUUAAUUGUAUGGAUUGACAACUAGGGUCCAGAGAAUGGUGUGGCUUUGUUCAUGGCCACCUUUGUCAUUAAAUGGAAUGACAUGACUGGACCAUGGAGAGGCCUCUUACGGUCAUCAUGACAAGCUGCCAUCUUUAAUGACCUGACGUGACAGUCGUUUUGGAGAUUUUGGACUGAGAUCAUUGAGUGCUUCGGCCGAACCAAGAAUCAGAGAGAGUGGGCCUUGGGCUGGUCACACGUCGGGAUGCGGCGAGCUUAGUAAAUGCUGGAGUUGGAGGUGACGGUCGAAGUCAGCUCGUUGAGGGCUUACCCGGGUCUCCAGAUUAGAUGCCGAAGUGGCUCAGUUGCACGCAGGGUAACACGGCUUGAUGGGACUGUGCGGGGGCCGAUCUCCCCAAAGUGAGGUAUAAUAAUGAGUGGCUUCGAGGUCGAUUAGGAGUAAGAAUUGGCCAAAGAUCUCCAGGGAAGACGCCAAAGUUGGGGCUUCUCUUGGCUCGAUGCCUGAUGUCUGGGUGUCACAUCUGGGCCGGUAGCUAAGGACUCGAUUGAGGUAAGUAUCAGCCAUUCGAGCUAAGAUCAUUUGCCGAAGUCUCAGUUGAUGGACGAAGCCAGGUGGCCGAAGUAGGAAGUCCGUUUAUUGAGGUAGCUAUCGAGGUGGGGUCAGAUGUGCACGGAGGGUGCGGGCAUCUGCGGGCUGCGCCCUAUGCGGGCCGAAGCCGGAUGUGUGGGCGCAUCCUCUCGCUUUUCUUCCUCUUCUGCCACCUUUUCUUUGUCCUCCAUCUCUUCCUCUCUUCCUUUUGUCUUGUUGUGAUGCCCAUGGGAGGAUGGGAUGAGAGAGAGAGGCAAUUAAUGCCUCUGUCAGGUUUAGAUGACCCAAGGCAAUCCUCGUAACAUAUGCACAGUGGACAAUACACAAUCGGAAACUAAUGAAGUACACGGGGCAGCAUGGCCAAUGGAGACCUUUUAGCACCGAUAGUGGGCUGGUUAAAUUGUUAACAUGCUGGGCCUCCGGUCUCUUCUUAUCUUUGGCCCAGAUGAACACAAAUGAUUACAUCAGAAAAAUGAUUUGCAAUGUAGUUAUUCAUCAUGGAUGGUCCUGAGUUAGUGUCCAUGUACAUCUGAAUCUUGAUGUCCCAAUUGUAUUUUCUAAGAAGAAUUUCCAUUGGUUGUAUAUGCAAGUUUUUGGCUGGAUCAUUUUCAAAGAUCUCGGUCACCUGCUAUUUACUUCCUGCUGUUGCAUGUUGUAAGGAACAAUGUUAAUACAUCAUGUUGUCAAUACAAGUCAAAAGUAUGCACCAUAUAUUUUGUAACAUGAGGACGCCCAACCUCAGUUCCAACUUCCAACAUCCAAUACUGGUAUUUGAUGUUUUACAUUGACAAUACCCAAGAGUAACAUGUGAUGUCAAGGUUAUUUGUUAUUUGUUUUUCUCUAUAUGCAAUGGAUGUUUCCCUUUGUUGUAUAUGCAACUAUUUGGCAGAACCAUUUUCAGGGAUCACAUGGUCCAUGCUAUUUACUUCUUCCUGUUACAUUUUUGUAAGAGAUACUAAUGCAUUAGAGUGUCAAUACACGUCAAAGGUAUGCACCAUGUGUUUUUGCAUUAUGAUAAUUUCAUCAAUUUGAGCUUAGAGAAACUAAUACCCAACCUCAGUUCCAACUUCCAACACUCAGUAUCGGUACUUGACACUGAUACGUUAAGAAUGCCCAAACUUAGCAUCUAAUGUCUAGCUUGUUUGUUAGUGUUUUGUAUGUGCAAUAUAUGGUUAGUACAAAAAUACACUAUGCUAGAACCGACAAUCUAGCAUUAAAUUAUCGAUUUUUUUGGCUGAUGUCAUCUAUGAAUGUUAAUUUUCAUGUUUAAAAAGGAAAGGUGAUCUUAUUUUAGAAGAGUCUUCAGGUUAUCAACUGGAGGAGUUGGGGUUUGGAAUGUUUUACCAUAGCAAAAAUAAAAACCGAGAAUUUAUGUAUUUAUUUGAAAAAUAAAGUUCUAGUUAUCUAUGGUAGACAAGUUAUGACAAUUAUUGUUGUAAUAUAUAUUGUUGCGGUGUAUUUGGAUUUUUUAUUGUUUAACAUCUUAAUACUCUAGAUAUAAUUUAAAGCUACAUUCUUGUAAGAGGCAUGUUCUCUCAACAUGCUACAUUGCAUUGUUUGCCAUUGCAUAUAACUUUCAAGCAGGCAUUGCUAUUGGAUAAGUAUCCCCUGUUUGGCGGUCUUCCUUUGACCUCAUUCGUAGCAUGCUCAUUUAUAGAGAUAAUCAAAGCCGAUCUCUAAUUAAUAACAAGAAAUGAUCUAGGCCUCAUAUAAACUCAGAAAUCCUAAUUUAAAGCAACUAUUAGAAGUAAUAGGUUUCAUUCUUAACUAAUCAAACACAUUCAACAGCAAGUCAUAUAUUUUAAAAUCCAAAAUUAAAUAAUUACAUCUAAAUUAUGGUGUUAAUGUUCAUCAAGAUGCAAACUUAGUUCUGUAGUUCAUAUUACUGUUAUGAUGUCUUAUUUAUUUUUGAGGAUGAUACAGUUUUUUCCUCUUCAUUAUAUGGCUGCUUCUUUAAUGAUGCUAUCACUGUAGACAUUUUUAUGUAAUGAUAUGUAUUCUUUGUACUCAAUUUAUUGAUGAGAUUUUACAUUUUCUUACCAUGUUAACAUGUAUAACAGGAGUUCUUGGGUAAGGGUAUGGAUGAUGAAAAUCCAUUUUCCAAUGGGAAGCACAAAGAGGGAAAUUUCAGGAAGCGUUCUCGUUCCCAUCCUGACAAUGGGAAAAGAAAAAGGCAGAAUUCUAGCCAUGAUCAUAAUUUUAUGACUUCCAAACCUGUUGAAACCAUUUAUCGCAUCCUUUGCCCUGUCAAAAAGAUUGGUAGCGUUCUUGGGAAAGGAGGUGACAUUGUUAAUGCCCUUAGAGAUGAGACUCAUGCAAAGAUAAGAGUUGCUGAUGCUAUUCCUGGGGCAGAGGAGAGAGUUAUUAUCAUUUUUAGUUACUUAUCGCAACAAUCUGGAGAACUCAAUUCUGAUGAGGAUCCUGAUGAUGUUAAUUUCACUGAGAGCGAAUCACAGGAUAUGAUGCCCCAUUGUCCUGCCCAGGAUGCUUUGUUAAAAGUCCAUGAUAGGAUUGCUGCAGAUGAGGUUCUGCGUGGUGGUGUGGUGCAUGAAAAGACCGGAGCUGAUGAUGUUGUCACUUCUCGCAUUUUGGUUCCAAGCAAUCAAGUCGGUUGUCUUCUUGGUAAGGGAGGCACUGUUAUACAGAAGCUACGAAGUGAUACUGGUGCUAAUAUUCGAAUUCUACCUGCAGAGCACCUUCCACCAUGUGCAAUGAGCACUGAUGAAUUAGUUCAGGUAAUUCCUUUCUGGAUCCAUUGUGGUUCAUUCAUGGUGUGGUCAUGAGUGUACUCUUACUCUGUGUCUACUAUUGCUAAUGAAAAAUGCUUUUAUGACUUUUAAAGCAAAAUAUCACUUCCUAAAAAACUGUGCACUUUGGUAAUAUCAUCUGUUUGUGCUUCUACAAGAAAAGUCAGAAAGAGCACUUUUAGGAGAAGCUAGAAAACCUAGCUUCUGGCUUCUCCUUCUUUUUUUUUUGCAAAGUAGAAGCAACACCAAACACGCCCUUGAUGUAUUUCUAGAAAAUGUUUUAUUACCUCGAACCUGAAUACUAGAAAUGUUUUAGAAUAAACAUAUUACUUUGUUUAGAAAAUUUAAAGAUGUUUGCAGAAUUAAGCCUUUGAAUAAAUAUAAAUAAAUGAAUAUGUAGUGUAGUGUGUGUUGUACUCAAUCUUAUUUUAUAUAUUUGUUUAUAUAAUAGCUAGUUUAUAUAAAUAAAUAGUCCCAGUUCAAUUUUAAAUUUUUGCUUAUUUCUGAUAACUACUCUUCUGAAGUCUCUUUAAUACAUCUCUUCUUUGGCACAUACAGCCCCUUGAUUUUAUCUCUUUCUGAUAAUCUUUUAGAGAAAGAGUGAUCACUGGACAUCCAAGUUUUUGGUGGGAUCACGAAUAUCCAUCUAAUCAUGUGCAUCCAGUAUGGUAAAUGGUUUAUAGAUAGGAUGAAAGCUUUGAUUCCUGUCACAUAGGAUCUGGGUAUCAAAGUAACUUGCUUUUUUAUAACUGAAAGGUUAGGAACAACUGAAGGGCUUGCUUUUUAUGUUAGGGUUGAUCACAUUGAGGUAUCUCCUUUUGAAGAAGCUGGGGUGAAGGACUUUAUUGAAUGCUUGAUGUGGAUUAAGAAUGCUAAGUUCUUGGAUGAAUUUAGAUAGAUGAGUUGAUGUAGAUUUCAAUUCUAGAUUUGUCUAAUAUAAGAAAGAAUUAAGUUUGGAAAUAGAAUUUGCAUGCUUAUUGAUGUGCGGGAGUAGUACCACCAGUAUUUUUCUUUGUUAAAGAUGGUGUAGGAAGAAUAUGAUUAUAUAUAUUUGUAUGUAUGUUUAAUAUGUGAAGAAUAGGAAAACAGCUCGUAGUGAUAGGUAAAUUGGCUGAGUUUAAAAUAAGUGGAAGUUUGACAUGUUAGACAUUGUAUCUGAACAAUGAAUCAUAAUAAGGUGCAAUAUUCAGAAUGCUUCAGGAUUUUGUAUUGUUAGGUGUUCAACUGCAUGCUGGAAAUAUAUCUUAUGGAGGAUUUUUUACAUUUUUCCCCCAGUUUUUGCGAGAAAGAUUCUUUACAUCAUAUUUAUAUGGAACACGAGGGGAGUAGUCAUAAUUCUAGUCCUUGGUUGUUGUUAACAAAAAAACAUGGCUGCAUGAGUUGAAUUAGUAGCAGGGAUGUGGUGCUUUGAAAGAGUAGCACUUGAUGGUACAUGAUUAUGAAGAAAAGGAACCUGGUUGUGCGCCCCCCCCCCCUGCCCCCCCUCCCUUUUUUAUUUUAGGGGGGGGGGGGUACUGGUAACGUUGGUAAUUUUCAUUAUAAAGAAAACCUUGUUUAGGGUUGUUAGAACAUCAAAACAUAAAAAAAGAGAAGUUAAUAAGUUUCUGUGUGGGUCUUUUUUUUUUAACUUAAUCCAACUCGGUUUAUUCUCAAAAAGGAAAAAAAGAAUAGGGAUUCUAAAGUCAUAAAGCAUUAAAUAGCACAUUUUAAGCUAGGCCAGCUUUGUCUUCAUAAAAGAAGUGAGCACCAGGAGCUUCUUGAUUGAAGAAUGAACUGGAAACGUCGAGGAGAAAUGUUUUAGGUCGUUCUUUCUAGCCUGGGAGAUAUUUGACAAUAUUGUUUUUCACAUUUCAUGCAUGUGGAUUGUCUAAGUGGCUUUAAGGAUCUAAGUGAAGGGUUUGAUGGUUAGUUCUAGUCAUUUCUUCAAGGUCAUAUUAUGUUGACAAGAAUGUAUUUUGAUGAUUGCUGUAGUACUAGUAAUAUGUUUUAGGUCAAUACUACUUUAUCCGACACUUUAGAAGGCCUGCAGAGACAGGCUAUGCUGAGGACCUGAAGGCAACUUUUAAACAUACUCGUGUCUGAAGUGGUCAUAAGACUGGCUUGCUAUAAUUGCACAAUACCAUCUUUGAAGAGAUUACUGGAAUGAAUCUGGUUAAUUUCUUUUGCUCUCCUAUCCUGUUUGUCAUAAAUUACUGAUCUAUUGAUUCUUGCUUUUUUGCCUUGUUUGAUGUUGGCAAGUUCCAGUGUGGUCCACGGCAAGAUUCAUUGUCUCAAUACCGAGCCCUAUACCGGUGCCAACUUAUUAGUCAGUGUGGGGCCAGUUCGGCAUACUGAGUGCUGUUAUACCUUCAGUACUACAUACAGGUACCAAACCGGUUUGGUAUGGUAUGCCCCAUACCAUCUGGUUUGGUAUGGCAAACCUUUGUCCAUGUUUUCUUUCUGUACCAACCAUGUUUCUCUAGCCUUUCUCCUGAAACAUUCUACAUCAAAUUAAAUUGGUUUUAUAGAGCCUUUACAGGUGCAUUGUCUUCUAAGCUGCUUGACAUGGUGCUAAUACAAGUAUCCGUGGAAUAUGAGCAGUGGCUUAUUGGCUUCAGGAUUUUUCUAAUAAAAAAUGAUUCUUGAUAGCUGUUUAAUCUCGUGAUGGUGUUCUUUUUUGAAUAUUGUGAUGUUUUCUGUAAUAUUUUAUGAGAUUCUUUUGUUUAACAAAUGAGGCAUAUGCAUAGUCUACUAGAUUAGUUAUUGAAUGUGUUUCUUGGUUUUAGUUAUUCCAUCUAAACUUUAUCUCUGAAUGCGUCUUUUAGAUAUCAGGAGUGCCAUCCAUUGUGAAGAAGGCUUUAUAUGAUAUUACCACUCUGUUGCAUCAACAUCCUCGUAAAGAAAAUCCUCCUCUAGAAGAUCUUAUAUAUGCCAGUACCCAUGGUUUAUACCAAUCCAGUGCUUCUAUGCCUCCAUUGCCUCAAGGAAAUCCAUUGUGGUCUCAGCAGCACCCAGCUGUUGAUGCUGCACCACCAAUGCCAUGGAUUCGUGGAUAUAGAAAUGAGCCAUCUGGAUAUGCUCCUGGUAAUUUCAGCAGUGGUCGUGCUGAAAAUGAGGGAGAAACAGCAGAGUUUUCCAUAAGAAUUUUAUGUGCCACUGUGAAGAUUGGCGGUGUGAUUGGUAAAGGUGGGGUUAAUGUCAGACAGUUAGAACAACAGACAGGUGCUCACAUUCAAGUUGAGGAUACCGCUCCUGAGGCAGAAGAGCGUGUCAUUGUCAUCUCUUCUAAAGAGGUAUAUUAUACCUAUUCUGUAACAUCUGUGUGGUGCUUACUGAAAUUUAUAUAGCUAAUGAUCUUGGAAUUUUACAUGCAUGGUAACUUUUAAUUUAUCCAAUGUUUGAUUGUACGUACAAUGACGUGUAUCUAAAUGAAUAACUUUAGGUUUUUUGGGAUCCAAUCUCUCCAACAAUUGAGGCUCUUCUCCAGCUUCAAAGCAGAACUAGUGCUUCCUCUGAAAAAGGUGUCAUCACUACAAGGCUUCUUGUUCCCUCCAGUAAGGUUGGUUGUAUCCUUGGACAAGGUGGUGACAUAAUCACAGAAAUGAGAAGGCGAACCAGAGCAGAUAUUCGAGUUUACUCAAAGGAUGAUAAGCCAAAGUAUACAUCAGCAAACGAAGAGCUUGUGCAGGUGAUGUGGUUAGCAUCAUGCUUUAUGCUAAGUUGACUUACAAUAUGUCAUCCUGGUCUUCCACACGGUUUUCAUUUGCAGUCAUUCUUUUAGGUGUACUGAUUAUUUGACUUGGUCAUAUAGAUAUCUGGAAAUCAGAGUGUUGCGAGGGAGGCUCUUUCAGAGAUUGCAUCCAGGCUUAGAGCGAGGACUCUUCGAGGUGGGAAUGCUGCUACAAAUACUGCACCUCCAGCCCCUUUCCGUGGAUUUCCUCCUUCAGAAAGCUUGUCUAGUAGAGGACCACCACCAACUGUAAAUUCUUCUAUAAAUCCUGCUCGAACGGUCCCUUUCCAUGGUUUUGCUCCCCUAGAAGGCUUUUCUGGUAGAGGACUACCAUCACCUGGCAUGGUUGGAUCUGGGAGUGCUGUUAAUUAUGAUCAUCCAAAGGUGUUAUAAUAUUUUUAUAAUUUACCCUUAUUUCUGUUGCCUCUGCACCUACAAAUGGUACUCUUUUAUUGUCCUGUUGAUUGCUAUGACUUGUCAGAUUGGUAAACUAUGCAAUUGUCCUAGGGGCUUAAUUCUCAUCUUAUGGUUGUGAAUACGUAUUUGAUAUUUCUUGUUCUUCUUUAACGUGCAUCACCAAGGUUGCAUUUUGGAUGCAUUGUGGAAUCAAUGGAUAUUUUGUAAUAUUGCAUGCUUUUGAGGAUUGAAGUUAUAAUUUCUGUAAGUGGUUGUUUGGGUGUGCUUUAUAUUGGUUUAUCUGAGAUUGAGUUUAUUCUCUCCAUCAGCGGUUAUAGUGUACUGUUAAACAAACAUCUCUUCGAAAAUAAUGCUUAUGGAAAUUUGCUUCUCAAAUUUAAAGAACUAUUCUUUUUUCGAUUAGAUAUAUAUGAUGAUAGCCUUAUCUUUGAAAGAAGUCAGUUACUUUUUCACUUGUUAACAAGUUACAAAACUUCAUGUCUAGCAUAUUCAUUAGCAUUUAUGUUGAAUAGAUUAUACUUAUGGUGCUCAGAGUUAUGUCAGGCACUUCUAUGCUUGAUGCAGUUUCUUAUAGGGAUGCUAAUGGUCUGAAUUAAAAGUUUGUAUGUGCUCUUCCUAGAGACAAGGAAGCGCCGUUAUCUUAAGGAUAGGCUUUUGUUAUUGAAAUAGGCAAUGCCUCACAAGUCGGUUGAACAUAUUCAUAUAGUAAGGUCGAUUUAAUCAAUCAUUUGGCUAUGAUGCUUUUGUAGCAUCCAACUUAUUUAAAUUAUAUUUAGUAUUUUCAAGAGGCAUCACUGCUCUAUAGAUUAUUGCAUCAAUAAGAGAGAAAGGAAGAAGAACAUUUUUCAAAAUGUUAUAUUUUUAAAGGUUGAAUUAUUAGUUCACUUGAAUGAUUAUGAAAGAGAACAAAUAACUAGGUUUAACAUUGACUGUUGUUACCAUAUGCUGUUUGUUUGAACAAUUAUCAUGUCAUGUUAAGUUAUUUAUGUUUCUUCUUGUGCAUUUAGCAUUUAGUGCUCCGGUCCUCAACUUCUGGUUUAUGUUCUUUUGUUACUCAGCUUGCAGUUAUACAUGCUCUGUUAAGCUGUUACCAGUAAGUACAAUGCAAAUGGUUGCAGCAUAGUUCUUGAUAAACUGGGAAACUAUAAACUAAAGCAUUCAUGAUACCUCAACAAUAAUAAACUAAUAGCUAAGUCGGAGAACAUAGUUCUUAAUUCUUAUGGUUAUUUUGCAUACAAAUCAGACGAGUUGUGAUGGAUCGUCCAGCUUUUGAUUGAGCUAGAAAAUUUGUCUUUGUUCAAGUGCAAAGGUUUGUAAGUGAAAUGUGUUUAUUUGCUUACUCAUUUUUAGCUUAUUUCUCCAUUUAUCUUGGUUUGGUUGAUGUAUGGAUUAUCUGGAUUCCAAAAUGAAAGGCUUAUUUGAGUUUCUUUUUCCCCACAGGGAUCUGGAAUGCUACAUGAAGCUCACGGUUAUCCAGGUCCCCGAAAUGCUACUGGGUAGAGUGGCUUCCAAAUUUAUUCUGUAUGAAAUAGUUUUUAUAGAUGUAGAAAGGCCGCUCACUUUUUGUAUCCAUUCCAGUUAUCCAACUAUGAACAGUUCUUUGGACGUUAAGAUUCCUAGUAGUGCAGUGGCUUCUGUUCGUGGAUCAGGUGCAAGCAAUUUUUCUGAUAUCCGUCAGGUAAGCCAUUUGGACAUCUUCGGGGAUUCCUUGAAAAAGUUGUAACUCAAUGAGGAAAACCAAGUUAAAAUAAUCCUAUUUCAGAUAUUCAAAGAUAUAUUGGGAAUUCUAUCAAUUUCUGACGAGCCACACGUUUAACUAGUGAUCUUUAUGAAUGAUGUUCCACUGCAAUUGUCUGUCAAGUUGGAAUCAGAUCCAUAUUUGUCAACCAAAUACAGACUAUUCUUUCGAUGCCUGUUACUUUCAAACAUACAGCCUGUUAAAUAAUUCCUUUCUGAGAUUCUUUAGUAUAGCAUGCCAUCUGUUAGUUCAGUGAGUGAGAGCCUUUUCUUAUGUAUUCUUUUUGUCAGAUUUCUGGAGCAAGGGUUAAGUUGCAUGAUCCUCUGUCUGGUGCAUCUGAGUGCGUUGUUGAGAUACACAGCUCUUCUGAUCAAAUGAAGGCAGCACACAGCCUCCAUCAGUUCAUAGCUUCUGGUGGACAGAAUGUACCACCACCGCAAGCUCCCCGCCCAUAUUAGUCUUUCACCUGGAACCAGAGGUCUUCUGUUGUUAUCCCAGCAGUGCAAUGCUGUGUGGCUGUUGUUUUUAUGGCUUUGCUGGCAUGAGUAAGGCGCUACUUCGACUAUUUGAGGUCCUAAUUUACAGUGAUUACUGUAGGCAAUUACAGGAGUUGAUCUGUUGAUGGUACAAAAAUGUGAAUUGGAAAAAGCGAUUAUCUCUGUCUAAACUAUUUAUUUGAAUGGCCAAGUGGUUCAACAAUAGAGGUGACUUGUGUAUGGCUCAAAGGUUAGAUUAUUCGAGUAACUAUGUAAGUGACUUUGUAGGUUGAGCAAUUCGGUACUUUGAAUUCCUCUGUCAACCGGAUUUAAUAGAUCCCUUUUUUUACCCUUUUUUUUUUUAUUUGUGGCAAAGCUCAUUUCUGAAUAAGUUGUUCCUUUAUCAUUUUUCUUUGAUUUUCUAUGGUUUAAUUAGGCUGCAGAUUCGGACUGUUGUGGGAGUUUCUGUUUGCUAUUUCGCUUAUGGAUGGCGUCGGUUAUUUGUGUGAUUUUUUUUUUUGAAGUCUAAAGGGAUGUCAGGUGAGACUUAUGUAAGAUUUCACAAAUACUGUCGGACAGUUAUGUUCAGAUCGCGGUAACACUGAAAACAUGUCGUUUGUUUCGUGAGAUGUGAGAUUUGACAGAGUUCUUGAUUGGCCUUUCUUCGCGAUCAAAAAGGGAAAAACUGUGAGAUGUAGAUGUUGUGGAAGCAUAUUUUCAGAUUAGAGGGAGACACUAGACUUUGUAAAAUGCAGGAUUCUCCUCAAUUGGCCGUCAGAUUCAAUGUCCUUUUCACAUCCGACGCCUCCCAAUAUCCUGCAGCGUAAUUGCCUGUUCCAUUGUGAUUGCCCGUAUGUGGCGGUCCAGCAACUCAAAAUGAAACUUCUAUUUGAGUCCUUUGAUUCCAUGAUUGGACGUUGAAUUACAUAAGCCUGUCGGCUGUGUAGAUCGAGGAAUGAGGCUGCCCUUCCUCCUAACAAACCAGCCUACUCCUGAAUCCGGCAUUGCUACUAAAAUUAGGAUCUAUAUUCGUGUCAUGCCCCAGUUUUAAAUCCUUCCGAGGGCUGUUGUUUGUAAUGAUUGUUCAAUUUGAUGAUUCUGUUGUACCGUUAUCUAACGUUUUCUAGAUCGAACUCAAGCAGUAGGUAUGGAAGGCCAAUUGACUUGAAGAGUGAAACUUAGGCUCAGAAAUCUAGAAAGAAUCCAAAACAAUUGAUGAAAUAUGAUAGAUGUGUCCCAAUUUCGUCUUGGUUGGGCUGGCAUAUCCGGACACGGUCAUGCAAAAAGGCUAGAGUUGCUAUUAUAUGGAGUCUUGCUCUCUCUUUUUCUCUUUUGGUAGGGGCCAAAAAAAACCUUUCCAAUGCACACUUCAUAUGGAUUUAAACACACCACUAUACCAUGGCUCCUUAUAAUCAAUCCAGGGAUUCUCAGCCUUAUUCAACAUAGAGAGGUCUUCACCCUAAGACUUCCUCGUAUUGCAUCCAGGAAGCGUAGACAAUAUAUUUGAGGACAAGAGAGAAAAAUUAGGGAUGAUCAAGAGGGAAUCAUAUCAACUCAUAAAAACACCAGCCUUAUAGAAUAAUUCCUUGCAAAAAUCCCCAUGUUACACGUGACCCAAAAAAAAAAGGAAGAAAAAAGAAAAGAAAAAGUGUUAAAGACAAAUGUUUCUGCAGUUAUCUAAAGUGAGCUCCAAAACUUUUUUAGCUGAUUUAUCUGCUGCUUAUUGUGAAAUGUACUGCCCUCAGCUUCUUCAUCAGACAUAGUAAAUAAUUACUUUUGUUUCAACGGGUGAUAUAAAGAAGAGCGAAUACUGAAUUUGGGUAGGAAGAUAAAUCUACACAUAUGUGAAAUAUCACUCUCAUUCUGUCAUCACGGCAACUGAUUUGGCAGGACACCACCACAAUCAACUCGAACUCGGCAAGAGAGUCAUAUCAUUUUCCUGUUGUAUGAUUCUAGUGAAUGGUUGGUUCUGCCAUAAGCCAAUACAGAACGAGCAUGAAAUGACUUAAAAUUAUGCGCUCACAUUCUUUUCCAAUGGUCUAUGGAACCAAGACAACUUCAUCUGAUACAUAUUGAUAACUGAGACUAAUGUUGGUUUCAUAUAGAACUGAAUGAGACUUUCAUACAUUUGCUUUCUAAUCAUACCAACUUAAUUAACAAGUGACGGACAUAGUGCUCCUUAACUGGUUGUCUCAUUUAAUUCUGCGCUUCAAGGGUUUGAUUCCAUUUAACUAACCUUAAUACCUUAUACUAAGAGGAACUUGACAACUUUAUAUAGUUAGCCUUUUCACAUAAUCAAUAGCCUCUCCAAAUUGGUUCUUGAUCAAAUGGGUGCUGUUGUUGUGGGACUUCUGUACCUUUGGUGGAAGAGGAAGGGAAGCUCGAUCUAGAUUCACCAAGCAUCGGAUUUCCUUGUGCCGCGAAAGAGCUUAAGCUUGUGAGGUUGGCGUCUUCUUGUGGUUGAUAACCGUUGAACGGCAGUGCUUUCAAUAUUGCUGGACUUGGUAAGUAGCUCAUGCCUAACAGGCUUGAUGGCCAUGGAAGUGAAGGUUGGCUUGUAGCUUCUCUAGCUAAGAUCCAAUUCAUGUACAUGUUCAUAUCUACCCUGUUGUUGAUGUUGUCAUUAAUUUGCAUACCAUCGGGACCAUUUGAGGUGUUGACGAGAUUAUUUAAGAUUGAUACAUCAAGUUCUCCCAGCUCACUUAACGAGGUUGUAUUGCAUGGAGACUCCAGCAAAGGUGGCAAUGGUGGAGUGUUCGGUUGCGUUUUCUUUCCAUUGGAGCUCUUCUUGAAAACCCUACAGACAACCCACUCCUCCUGUGGAACAAAAAGGGAUGUUAUCCAUUGUUAUUGAAAAGGUCUUACAUACAAUAACUAGGAUGCUCUUUGAAAGUUCCAUUUCUGCAAGACCUUUGUGGAUCUGUAGGGAAAUUUGGUCUGGAGCCUAUACUCAUGCAUCACCCAAUUGGUCUUCUCGCCCUUGGGGGCUCUUCCUUUGUAGAAGACUAAGGUUUUCUUCAUCCCAACCAAGACCCCGCAGUGGAAGAUCUCCUUGUCUUUGCCCGUUGUCUUCCAGUAACCAGCGUCGGUCGCUCGGUUGGUCCGCAUCCCAGUUGGGUACUUGCGAUCCCUCAAGCUGAAGAAGUACCACUCUUUCUCCCCCAUGCUUGCCUUCCCUGCAAUCAUUUGGAACCAAAACAAUUAAAUUCUCUUCAAGUUUCGUUACCAAGAUCAAAUAAGACUUGCCCCAGCAAUAUCCUAUCACUAAUUCUUUGUUCUGAACAAGAUAUGUUUACUGGUUGAAAAUAAAAAUCAUGAUUCAAUGCCAUGCAAAACUGGUUAUGAAAGGGAAAAGAUUAGUAUGAAGACCCCAAAUGGACAUGCAACUCGGGUUGAUAUUGAAGACGAAACUUGUGUACCUGGGAGGUCCCAAGGCUCGCACUUAUUGAGAUCGACAUCGGCGAUGGCUUUAGCAGCGAAUCCGAAGUCCGAGACCUUGCGGGUUAGGUAGUAAGUGAUGAGCUCUUCGUCGGUAGGGUGGAAUCUAAAGCCAGGAGGAAGGUUUUCCUCCAUUUUAGGCUAAAUGUGGAUAACUCGCAUGGGUUCAGGAGUUGGGAAGAAGUCCUCUUAAUGUUUAGGAUCUGUCUUAGAAGAACAAGAGCAGCACUAGUAGCAGAGGAACAUGAACGACAGAUAUUAAUAAGGUCGGGGAAUGUCACCUUCUAGUAGUAAUGGAGACUUUUUCUUCUGGAUCUCUCUCUCUUUUUAUUUUUAUUUUUUUUAGGUACAGCUUCUAGAUCUUUUUUUAAAUCUCAUCCACCUCAUUGAAAAAGAUGGCGAACGUAUUGCAAAGUUUGGAUUGCGAGAAAUUACAACAUUGGUUCUUAUUACGAUAAUGCCAUCGAAGUACCUAGUGGGAGAAGUGGUGGAGGGGUUUCUGUAGUGGCUUGUGGGUAACAUUGGGACGAACGGAGGGCACUUGAAGGGGAGUUGGAGUAUGGGUCGCACUCCUCCAGAUCCCCUUGUCCCCCCGUUCCAACCAACUCCAACCGUUCCUACCCACCCGCCUAGGUCCGCAUAGCCGCGCACGCUUGGUUGCCACCAGCCAAUGGAAACGCGACGCAGUGUUCCCCUGGUGCAUUGCACGUGAGAACAGGCUCUCCUGCAAGCUUAGUUUUUGUACUCAAAAAUAAUUAAAAAAAAAGUUUUUGUACGGCAUCCUCAUCAAGGGACGCUAACAGCACUCGAGGUUACAUCACUUCACAGUUAUUUUAUAAAUACCGAAAGCCGCAAGUACUAGGCAAUUAUACGCACUUUCCAUUCUACUUUGGGAAAAACUUGUCCUUGUUACCUAACGCAUUUUUAGCAUGAGAAGCUAGAAAUUAGAUUUUUUUAAUUUUUUUAAAAUAUUAUUUUCAUUGUUUUUAAGCACUUUUUGAAUUUGUUUUAAGAAUAUUUUUUGAGCAAUUCAAAUGUAUGUCUAAUUUCCAGCACUCAUCCAGGCAUUAACAAGUAUGGGUAACUUUCUGCCUCCAAAACUAUGGAUAUAAAAAGAAUUUUAAAAAGCAUUAGUGAUAUGCAGAAUCAAUCACGUAUAUGUAGGCUUAGAAAUAGAGAUAGGUAAAUGCCGAAAAAGUUAUGAACCAUAGGUACAAUCAUUUUGGCAUUGAUUGAUCCUCUUUGAUAUUUACUCACAAGAAAUUUAUGAGAUCUAAUUUUAGUCAUUAAAAUAAUAGGAGCAAAACUUGGUAAAUGCAUUAUUUGUAAUAUUUAUUAUUAUAAUGGAUUAUUAAAAUAUUUGUAUGUGUACAAAAAAGCUCCUAGUCCAUAUUUGGUAAUCAUAAACUCUAGUUUUGUUCUGGUACGGUAAUCAUAAACUCUAGUUAUCCCUAUAUUCCCAGCAGCUAAUUGAUUAACUCAUAUGCCUUGGAUAAUAUGCUUGUAUUUAAAAUAUUUGAGAACCAUGAUCACAAGAUUUGGCACCUAUCUAAUUUUUUUUUUUUUUGUAUACACCAGACUUCUUAACCUAUGUGCAUCAUUCGUGUUAGAACAUAUUUAGCACCCGUCUCCAUGCCCUAACCCGGCUUAGUUCGGUUCAGCUCAGUUCGCAUGUACGUGUAUUAAAGAUUUUCUUUCGAACCUCCUCAAAUAUCCUUAAGGGCAUAGCCAAAUCCUUUUCACAUAUAAAGGACACAAGAAAUCUUUUUAUUCCCCAUGUAGGACUAAAAAACCUCAAAACAAUAUGAAAUAAUAUUUGGAGGGAAUUGAAUUGGAAAUUUUAAGUUUCCAAAAUUUUAAAUUUUCUACCAACAAUCUCUCACAAAAUUCAAAAUUUUUAAAUAAUAUUAAAAUAAAAUAAUACAAAUUUCUGAGUGCUUAUACUAUGUAAUGGGUAAAAUGACUUAACCUUACUUAAUGUGAACAAUUUUCAUCUGAAGAAAAUGAAGUAAACCAGAUCUUGAACUACAUUUUUUUGACUCAGACUUCAACUACCAUAUACACAGUGCAGAGAUCCUUCAUUGUUAGUCUGUGCAUUAAUGGCUCUGUACAAGUAUCUUGAUUUUUUAUGAGAGUUACUGGAGAUUGGCUAACUCUCAUAUCCGUAGCUAUGUACGGAUACUCUCACAUAGGUGAGCCCCUCCAAGAAUGAUGUAGAGUCACAUCUCAUGAAAAAUACCAUCUCGAAUCUUAUUCAUAAUUACAGCUCUUCCUUACUAUACAUAAGAGCACUAAACACCAUAAGGAUAGGAUAGAGUCUAUGACUUCUAUAUCAAAUAAAUUAUAUGUACUCUCUGACCAACCAAUUAGCUUGUUAUUACCACAUUGAAUCUCCUUCAAGGGGUCUCCUAUCACAGAGAUUGGGUUCCCACUAUUGAAAAGUCCUUUAUAGGCAAAAUCCCAUCCCUCUCGGUGUCUCAAGAAUCUUAAUCCUAUUCAAGCCUUUAGUAAGGCAGUCAGCAAGAUUUUGAUCAGAUUUUAUAAAAUUUAACACUAUUAUAUCAUGCUUUUAUUGCGAUCUAAUAGACUUUUAUCUUAACUGAAGAAAAAAUUAUCUGAUCGCAUUAGAUACUAGAAAGAAAAUUGAAUAGAUUAGCAAUUAAAAUUUUUAUAAUGUUUAUAAAAUCUUACUUUGAUUCGCAGUGGAAGACUUGAUCAAAGUGAAAAAGGUUCCUCAAUCGAUCUGCUUCGUGAGAUCUGAAUGCGCAGAUCUUCUACUUCGUAUGCACGUCAAGCAACGUAGGAGAGAGGGAUGAAGAACUCUUCAAGAGGAAGAAAGAGGAGACCCUUAAGAUCAGAUUUUAAGGCUAGGAAGGACCCUACAUGCCACACCACCAAGAAAAGGGAGGACGCCAAGAGGAAAGAGAUGCCCAGGGGAGCACGCCAAGAAAGAGGGGAUGCCCAAGAGGAGAUCUCAUCUCUAAACUUAAGCUUGAUUAAUUUCUCUCUUUUCCACACCCUUCCUUAAAUAGUCAAGAGAUCCUAGAUCAAAUUAAAAAUCUUUAUGUAUUAGAAAUAGGACUCUCCAUAUUUGAAUCAAAUCCAAACUCUCUAAACAUAAGGAUUCCCAAGCAAAGUAAGAGAGGCGCUAACUUGCACCUCUCUCUUCAUGCCGCACACCCAAGGGGACCCUCCCCCAUCUUGAUCAGCCCAUGUGAUGAGAGAACAUUUGAGAAAUAUGGCUAAAUCGAUCAAAUCAGAUUUGGAUUUAAUUCAAAUCUAAUUCGAAUCCGAUUCGAAUCAAAUUCGAAAAGACUGCUAAUCCUAAUCCAAUUAGAAUUCUUGUUCAAGUUCAACUUAGUUAAUUAACCCAAUUAGUCUUAAUAAAAUCAUAUCUAAUUAAUUUAGAUCUGAUCUAAAAUAAUUAGGACUCGAAUCCAAUCUCUUAUAAUUGCUUGAAAUAUUAAUUUGAUCAAUUUCAUCUCCGAAAUCAAACCUACACCUCAUGUGCAGUGCUAGUUGCAUAUAGUCAAUGUUUAAUUCUAUAUGAUCCAUAACUUAAUUUUCAAUUAAGUAAAUCUACAUAUUCAAUUAAGUCUCAUACUUUCAAAUUGAAUACAUAAAUAUCUGAUCAAUUCUUUUCUAUGUUGUUUGACUUUGUGCAUGACUCCAUAGAUUUGAACACUAAGUUGGUAGCAUAGGAACCACUUCCUAUACUAAUCGAAGUAAUCAUCUAGUAAUGAUACCCGAUGUCUAGAUAAAUUAAAUAUUUAUAAAGCAACAUUCAAGAUCUUCGAUAUAUGGUAACUGCAUAAUUCAUCCUUUUAACCCUAAUUCUCAAGGUGACUUAGGGUUUAAUUAUCAACCUUGAAAUAGUCAUCUUCAUUGUAUUUCAAUCUUUUUCAAAUGCCAUUUCUUAGUUAUCUACGUAUGAUUGUGACAUCAUUCAUAAUGACAACACAAAAAUCACUCUUAAUUGAAAAAGUAAAUCCAUCUUUGAUUAAAAGGCCUACAAAAAUUAUGUUCAUCAAAAAAGAUGGACAAUAGUGAUAGUCACUUAAAACGAUAUUAUUAGAAUUAAGAACUAGCUCGACAAUUUUUAAAGCUAAGAUUGAAACAUGACUUACAUCUCUCAUAUUCAUAAAUCUCUCGUUAUUUUUAAAUUUUUUACUAAUCUUAAGUGCCUGCAAUGAAUUGCAGAUAUAAAUCAGACUUUUGAUAUCCAAUAUCCAGAUAGUAGUAUCAUAGAUAGAGAAAUUAUAAGAUAUUAUCAUAUAAGCAUUUUGAUCAGCAAUCGAUUGUUUAUUUCUCUUCCUUAGUCUGUUUGGAUCAAAGAAUGCUUCUAUUUAACCCUGAUCUGAUAGAGUACAAGCAUCCAUCUUUUGCCAUGUAUCACCACAAUCAUGUCCUUGUAAGAAUAACUUAAUCAAACUCAACCACUCGAGAACUUGACAACAUUGGAAUAUCAUUCAAUAACGUCACAUUAUGCUGACCUUCGUACUAGCUAAUGAUGAAGGACCAUGUGUACCACACAGAAAUAGAUAUAUUUAAUCUUGUUGGUUACACACCCGAUUAGUUUAUUAGUCAAUUUAAUCGCCCUAUCCAAAGUCUCGUCAUGCAAUUAGGAUACGUAAGGUUUGGUGGACCACAAACAAACAAGGAGGCUACUGUGGCUAACAAGAGCUCACCAAACCUUAAGACCCUUAUCUCUUCUAUACGCGUGCUUUCGCAUUCGUGGGUUUGAAAUCUUGCGUUGAUGCGGCUUCUCUGCUGCCCGUUAUCGAAGGGAAAACGUGGUUCCGAAGGUGAGAGAGCUUUUCGGGGAUGGUGCAUGGCCUUGGUUCACGCCUAUAAACUCCGGGUGUUCGUUCCUAACAAGAAGAAUUUCGUUGGGUACUGAAAGCGAUGCCUUCUCGAUAUCACUCGCCUUUGGGUACCACUGACCAAUUCCUCCAUCAUUACCAAACUGCAUUUAUAAAUGCAUGAGGGGAAAACAGCUAAGCUUCUUGCACCACUCCUUUCUUCUAGAUGUCCCUUGGUUUCAGAGACGAAGACGUCUUAACUGGUAUUUGAGUUGCUAUAUAUGUUUUUGUGUCACUGGCUGUGGCUGUACUUAGUCACCUCUUUCACCGAAAGCCAACUCGCAGUUUGGGCCUGGUUGGGUCGAUAUUUAGCUGGCUCUUGGUAGGACUCCAGUUGGAGCAUGUCAGCAAUUUGAAGUUAUGCUGGCUAGGUUAUCAUAGUUGAAAGCUCAUGUAACCUGAAGCCAACAUAAAUUUCUAUGUAAGGUUCUAAAUCCAACAUAAAUUUCUACGUUAUAUGGUUUUUCCCCUCCCAUACUAUUCAAGUAGAAAAAGCUCUGAGCCCAUUUUAACCAGACGUUAGCACAUGCAAUAGGAUUCCCUUUCUUGGAAUGAAACAUAUAUAUAUAUAUAUAUAUGUUGUAGGGCUCCUAACCUCAAGUGAAGUAAAAUCAUCCAUAAUUUGGCCCGGUUUUGGUGGCAUUCCUUCUGCAUUCCAUAUCUAUAUAUUAAACCAAUAUAAUAUGCAAUACAACAACAUAUGAUCAAAUUAGAAAAUCAUAAUCAUUCAAAUUUUCCUGUCACGUGAGCCACAUGUGCUGAUGCUAGCUAUGAGAAAUUCAAAGUGAAUUGGACGCACCAUCCAAGCACCAGGGCAACUUAACUUUUAAUGCCUAUCCAUUGGAAGAACUAGAUUGGACUUAUCAAUAUCCCAUAUGCUAGAAACUCUAGUAAGAAAAUGCAGUUCUAACAGUGCAGCUUUUUUUUUUCUCUCUUUCUUUCUUUCUUUUUUCCUACAGUAGAAACAACAGUGCAGUUUUAAGACAUAUCCUAUAAGAAGUUGACUAAUUCGCAGGGCAGAUCUUUUAUAUAUUUUUGUCCUACUUUACUCCUUUUUCAGGCACAAGCUACAAAUCAUGCACCAGACACAGGACAGAAGUGUUAACUCACAUCCUUUGAGCCUAUGGAAAGUGGAUUAGCACCCAGCACAGGGUUGUGCCUUUUCCCCACUGUACCAAUUUUGUCAGUGCCGCUCAAACAAAUUCUCAAUUAAAGAGUGUCAACCUUCCUCAACCAUAGAGGGGUAACUUAGCACCCAGCACAGAGUUGUGCUCUUCCCUGUUGUACUAAGUUUUUUGGUGCAGCUCAAACAAGUUCUCAAUUAAAAAGUGCUAUAACUUCGUCAGCCAUAGAGGGAUAAUUUCUCAUUUUGCGAUGAUAAACUGGAAGAUCCCUCUAUUGGAAAACGUGAAAGUCUUCAAUUGGUUGGUUUACAACAAAAGGAUUCUCACUACUGAUGACAUAGAUAAAUCAGAUUGGUCCUCCUCCUCCUCCCUCAUGUUUAUUAUAUGGAAACGAAGAAGAAACAGUGGAUCAUUCAUUCUUGAAAUGCUUCUACUCCUGCCUCAUAUGGGACAAGAUAAAUAGGGCAUUAUCAAUACAGUCUACGCCAACCUUAGUGGAAGAAAUCUGGAUAAAAUGAAGGAGAUCAAUCAUGGUUAAGAAAUUGACAAGAGCAAGCAACUGCUUGGUCCUGAUGGUUAGGUGGAGUAUAUGGACAGAGAGAAACAACUGGACUUUUAUGUUUGAGGCCCAGUCAGCAAUGAAACUGCUGGAACACUCUCUAGGAUUAUUGGAUAGCUGGAUGGUCUGUUUACAAGAACAGAUUCAAGACCCUCUGCAAGAGCUAAUGAGCAAGAUGCUUAAGGAUACCAAAUCACCAACCAAAGCACGAAGCAGAGCGGCAUAUAGAGUGAGGCUUUUAAAGCCAAUUAUUAUUGAUUCGUAGCCAAAAAAAAAAAAAAAAGGAAGGUAAAGUGGUCGCUGCUACUGUAAUCGAAAACAACGAAACAACGACAGCCCUCAACCCUUUUCUUGCUUUUGCUCAAGUUAAGCCAACUCGGCUUAUGGCCAAAACAGUUAUAUGUACAACAGUCCUUUUGUACAUCAACCAUUUUCAACAAACUGGGUAAGAAACCUCCCAUUCCAUCAAAAAAAAAAAGGUCCUAUGUUUCUACCCAUAUGUGAUUAUUUGUACAAUUAACUUACGGUCUUCAAUUAUGAAAUUAAUGAAGUGACAGUGUCACGCCCCGAACCCAACACCCGGAUCGGAUACGUGAUGGCCAUACACUCCUUAGAGCAAGCCCUAAAGAAUAUGCAAGGCCAAAUUAAAUCAUUACAAUCUUAUCAACCAUAAUAUUUAAUUUCAACAGUAAUUCAUAAAACUUGCAUAAUUACAAUUAACAUUCCUUCAAUCCUCUGAUCAAGUAUCAACGGUACUCUAUCUAUGCAUCCGCUCACUCACAAAUCCAUACCAUAGCCAACCAUGGANNNNNNNNNNNNNNNNNNNNNNNNNNNNNNNNNNNNNNNNNNNNNNNNNNNNNNNNNNNNNNNNNNNNNNNNNNNNNNNNNNNNNNNNNNNNNNNNNNNNNNNNNNNNNNNNNNNNNNNNNNNNNNNNNNNNNNNNNNNNNNNNNNNNNNNNNNNNNNNNNNNNNNNNNNNNNNNNNNNNNNNNNNNNNNNNNNNNNNNNNNNNNNNNNNNNNNNNNNNNNNNNNNNNNNNNNNNNNNNNNNNNNNNNNNNNNNNNNNNNNNNNNNNNNNNNNNNNNNNNNNNNNNNNNNNNNNNNNNNNNNNNNNNNNNNNNNNNNNNNNNNNNNNNNNNNNNNNNNNNNNNNNNNNNNNNNNNNNNNNNNNNNNNNNNNNNNNNNNNNNNNNNNNNNNNNNNNNNNNNNNNNNNNNNNNNNNNNNNNNNNNNNNNNNNNNNNNNNNNNNNNNNNNNNNNNNNNNNNNNNNNNNNNNNNNNNNNNNNNNNNNNNNNNNNNNNNNNNNNNNNNNNNNNNNNNNNNNNNNNNNNNNNNNNNNNNNNNNNNNNNNNNNNNNNNNNNNNNNNNNNNNNNNNNNNNNNNNNNNNNNNNNNNNNNNNNNNNNNNNNNNNNNNNNNNNNNNNNNNNNNNNNNNNNNNNNNNNNNNNNNNNNNNNNNNNNNNNNNNNNNNNNNNNNNNNNNNNNNNNNNNNNNNNNNNNNNNNNNNNNNNNNNNNNNNNNNNNNNNNNNNNNNNNNNNNNNNNNNNNNNNNNNNNNNNNNNNNNNNNNNNNNNNNNNNNNNNNNNNNNNNNNNNNNNNNNNNNNNNNNNNNNNNNNNNNNNNNNNNNNNNNNNNNNNNNNNNNNNNNNNNNNNNNNNNNNNNNNNNNNNNNNNNNNNNNNNNNNNNNNNNNNNNNNNNNNNNNNNNNNNNNNNNNNNNNNNNNNNNNNNNNNNNNNNNNNNNNNNNNNNNNNNNNNNNNNNNNNNNNNNNNNNNNNNNNNNNNNNNNNNNNNNNNNNNNNNNNNNNNNNNNNNNNNNNNNNNNNNNNNNNNNNNNNNNNNNNNNNNNNNNNNNNNNNNNNNNNNNNNNNNNNNNNNNNNNNNNNNNNNNNNNNNNNNNNNNNNNNNNNNNNNNNNNNNNNNNNNNNNNNNNNNNNNNNNNNNNNNNNNNNNNNNNNNNNNNNNNNNNNNNNNNNNNNNNNNNNNNNNNNNNNNNNNNNNNNNNNNNNNNNNNNNNNNNNNNNNNNNNNNNNNNNNNNNNNNNNNNNNNNNNNNNNNNNNNNNNNNNNNNNNNNNNNNNNNNNNNNNNNNNNNNNNNNNNNNNNNNNNNNNNNNNNNNNNNNNNNNNNNNNNNNNNNNNNNNNNNNNNNNNNNNNNNNNNNNNNNNNNNNNNNNNNNNNNNNNNNNNNNNNNNNNNNNNNNNNNNNNNNNNNNNNNNNNNNNNNNNNNNNNNNNNNNNNNNNNNNNNNNNNNNNNNNNNNNNNNNNNNNNNNNNNNNNNNNNNNNNNNNNNNNNNNNNNNNNNNNNNNNNNNNNNNNNNNNNNNNNNNNNNNNNNNNNNNNNNNNNNNNNNNNNNNNNNNNNNNNNNNNNNNNNNNNNNNNNNNNNNNNNNNNNNNNNNNNNNNNNNNNNNNNNNNNNNNNNNNNNNNNNNNNNNNNNNNNNNNNNNNNNNNNNNNNNNNNNNNNNNNNNNNNNNNNNNNNNNNNNNNNNNNNNNNNNNNNNNNNNNNNNNNNNNNNNNNNNNNNNNNNNNNNNNNNNNNNNNNNNNNNNNNNNNNNNNNNNNNNNNNNNNNNNNNNNNNNNNNNNNNNNNNNNNNNNNNNNNNNNNNNNNNNNNNNNNNNNNNNNNNNNNNNNNNNNNNNNNNNNNNNNNNNNNNNNNNNNNNNNNNNNNNNNNNNNNNNNNNNNNNNNNNNNNNNNNNNNNNNNNNNNNNNNNNNNNNNNNNNNNNNNNNNNNNNNNNNNNNNNNNNNNNNNNNNNNNNNNNNNNNNNNNNNNNNNNNNNNNNNNNNNNNNNNNNNNNNNNNNNNNNNNNNNNNNNNNNNNNNNNNNNNNNNNNNNNNNNNNNNNNNNNNNNNNNNNNNNNNNNNNNNNNNNNNNNNNNNNNNNNNNNNNAGUCUUCCUCCUCCUCUUGUUUGUUUUGUUUUUUUUUUUUUUUUUUUGGGCUGUGGCUGAUUCUGGACUGGGGUGUUACCGACGGUAUGAUCAGUGUUGAGUGUAUCUUUAGUUUGCAAAUUCUAGAAAGACCAAAAAGAAUACUUUUUAUUGGAGCGGAAUGAGCAGAGCGAGUGAUGCGUGGUGCAAUGAUUGGGUCCAAUUGGAUUCCACGAUUCGAAUUUUUGAACUACGACCGACUGGUCUGUCCAAUUUUUGGUACAGACCAUUUCGGAAUUGGGGUACGGAGGGUUGGUUUUCUUUGAAUCAGGCCUGUACGUUUGGAUUGCUUGGGCUCUUCUGCCCUCUACUCUGUUUUGUAUCUUUAUUUUUUCCUUACUUUUGCCCUUUUAUUUUUUAUUUUCUGUUCUCAUUUCAUAUCUAAUAAAAUGCAUGAAUGACAGGUUCUUCUACCAUUUUGCUAACAAUGUUAUUUUCAUUCGGAUGCGUGGUGAUUUGCAAAGACUGCCAUAAUUUCCAUAAAUUUGUGAAACAUUCUCUCAUUUUCUUCUCCUUCUUCUUCUUCUUUCGGUUUUUUCUUUCUCCCACAAUUUUCUACUUCACUGGGUCUCAUGCCAAUGCCCAUAUCUGCAAAAGUACCAGAAUUUCCUUGGAUGACAGAUUAUACAUGCUUAUAAAGAUGUCAUUUCUCUUAUUUUCUUCACAAAUUUUAUUAAUUAAUAUCUAGAAUAAAAAAUGUAUAUGCAUGGUAAAUCACGAGGCAAAUGCCGUGUUGAUCAAUCCUAGUGCUAGAAAGAAUCUCCUCAUAGCUAUCAUGUCAUAGGGUCCGGGUGCACUGGCGCAGUUUGAAAUGUCAUUUGAUUCUCAAUGAUAAUGUGGCAUGAAAUAAAUUUUGAUAUUAGAUCGAUGUUCUAUAGUACCUUCUAUAUGCUAAGCUGACUGAAUGUUCCCACUUCCCAGCAUAUAUUGCUCAAAUUAUAUUAUAAAGCUUCGAUUUUUCUACUUUUGGAAGUAAUGGUAACUAGCAAGUCCAACAAGAGGUAAAUUAUAUCUUGCACGACCCGUGCCAAUGUGGCUAUGCGUUUUAUCAAUCAGUUUGUUUUCUUGUUAUGGGUUAAUCAUCGAGAUAAAUGUAUAAUGAAUGGAUUCAUAGAAAAGAGAUGAGAUGAUCGAUGUAGCAGAUAGCUAUAUAGUGUAUAUGAUGCAAGAUAUAAUAUUUUCUAACAAAAUGGGUAGAUAACAUGGUUAUCACGUGAAUAGAGCGUGAGCCGAAUGUUCUAAAGUCAGAAGGCAAGCGGGGCAUCGCGGAGGAGUAAAUUUUUUUUUUCCUUUAUGUAACUCUUUCUUCUGAUGGUCAGUCCCUAUGAUUUAUCAAGCUCGAACUUCGAGGCCGUCCAGAAGUAGAUGCGUAGGGUAAAGAGAGGGGAAAGGAGUGGUGGAGAAGUCCUAAAGAUCGUCGAAGUUUUAAACGAUGAUCCCAGAGACAUCAUUUUAAAUACAGUUUUUCGUUCUAAAUUAAUGCAAGCUCGUGCUGAAAGGGAGUCCUACCAAUAAUAAAAGCACGGAGAGAAAAAAGAAAACUAAAACUUUAAUAUACCAUAGUUACAACUAUAUGAGGAAAAAGAUAUAGAUAAUUAAAGGCAAAGGCAGUGGCUUGGGUGAUUUUUGGAAAGUGGAUAGGAGUCCAUAAUAUGUGGUGAAUUUUGAUAUUUGUUUCUAUCAAGUCACACUAAUACACUGAUGAGUUAAUGGUGUAAAGUAUUGCUUGAAUCCCCAACUACGUUGUGUAUUUUGUAUUGAUCGAGGGCUCGUGUGGAAACUCUGAUUCACUUGGCAAUGGACUUGCACUGCAGCCAGAAGUAAAUAGUGAAAUCCCUAUAAAAUUUGCCUAGUGAGUUUCAACGUUGAUUCUAAAAUUAUAUUUGUUUAAUAUAAUAAUAACCUAUCCAAUUAUAACUAGAAGGUCAGUUAGUAAUUACAUCAUAAAUGGGGCUUUCAACUUUUGUGUUCUCAUGUUUUAUUUAACAUGUCUUAUUCCAUUGGGUUACGAUUGAACCUGACACUGCUUAGCCAACACUAGGUAAAGCGAACAGUGUAGAUGCAAAAAUGGACUUAUGCAGCGGGGACAACAUAUUUCUCUCUUUAUCUGCCGACAAUAUAAAAAGAUAUUCUUGUCUCACUUAGUACAUAAGAAAGUAAUGGUUCAAGGAAUCCCGGCGCCUAUGUGCAUGACCAUGUGCAUUUUCCAUCGUAAGAAGUCGGACAAUCAAAUUAUUUAUUUCUUAUUUUUUCAGAGACAUAGCAAUUAAACAAUGUUUGUUGUUUACAUUUAAAAUAAAAUUUUGUUCCACUCUUAAUAUCUUUGAAUCGUAUAGUUGUUAUCGUACGAUGUUUAUUUGUGAGUUCUCGAUGGUGAAGGAAAUUGAUGUUGUACAUUUGAGAAACUCAACUUAGAAUUUAACAAAUUUAAUGGCAAAACAAGUUAACUUACAACUUUAUUUUUCAAAAAUUUAAAUGAAAAGAUUGGAUAAAAUUUAUAAAGCGGAUAGAUCACAUAAUACUUCUUAAAAGAAUAAGAAAUAGAUCGUAAAUGAGAAGUUGAAAAGUUUUGAUCCUACUAAUGCAUGCAUAGGGAUAAAACUAAAAGCCUGAUUGCAUAAAGAUCUAAACAAGUUGAAUUCACAGUUAUAAGCUCAUGAGCUUGCAAUUCCAAUAUUAAUCGAAACAUCAUUUUGGAUACUCUUAAGAUUCGGUUUUAACAAAUCGGCACUUUCCCAGGCUAAGUUUGUUAUUGGAAAAAAAAGAAAAACAAUAAGAAGCAUUACUUGAGAAUAAACUAAACCACAUUUAGCAAUAGCAUACAGUAAACGUUCUUUAGGCUCUGUUUUGACCCAUCUUCUUACAAACUCCCAAAACAGACAAGCCUCCUAAAGCAUACGAAACAGACACGCUUUAUAUCCGGGCAUACCAACUUGCUUUUGGGUCAAGUCACUUGAACCAGAAACCAAGACAUGUCGAUUUUAUUUUGGCCCUCAAAAAUCAGAUUGGGACCCAUUGGCAUCCCUAAUAUCUCUGCUUUAGAGGCCAUCGUCCUAAUCUCGUUUUGAGAGCCGGCUGGCAACUAACUCCAUAUCAUCCAACUUUGCUUAGAUAAAGCAGCCAUCGUAGUCCCUAGCAAGUGUUCAAAAGCAAAACCACCUCCUCCUCCUUCCAUCAUAAAUGCCCCAGAACCUUCUCGCGGUGCUUGGCCUGGAGAAUCCCAGUCACCCAGUAUCCUCCCUUCCUUGCCAUGGCCAAACCACCUUCCCUUGCCAGAAGGAAGAGGGUGUGAUGUUUCUCCUCCAUGCCUCCAUCUCUCUUAGCUUCUUGCUACUCCUCAUCCACCUCUCUUCCUUCCUCCUCACCAAGCUCUUCACCUUUCUCCAUAAUAGAGCCAUCUCCAAACACCAAGGGUAACUCUCUCUCUCUCUCUCUCCCUCCCUCCCUCUAUCUAUCUAACCAACUUACCAACUACUUUUAAUGCAGGGAUGUUCAGCUCAGUGCUUUUCAACAUGAGAACAAGACCGUGUCAACCUCGGACGGCUACUCCGAGAAGGAUGUCGCCGACGUGGUUUGCAGAGAAGAUCUACCGUUCUUCUACAGGGCAAGCGGCGUCAAGGAUUCCCUACUUACCGAGCAAGCAAAAGAUUCCAAUGAGCAGCAUUCCUUGGAAGGAGAGGAUAGCUCUGUCUCGGAAUCCCAGCACGGUUCUCUGUCAGAGAAUCUUGGCCAUGACAAGCUUGGAAUCGAGUACGGUGAUGAUCUGAUCACUGAAGUCCUAACACCUUCGGAUUGCUCCGGAGCCAGCCCAAUCAUAUCGGCGUCUGAAGAAGAUGUUGCUUGUGAAGGUAAUCCUUCUAGUCCGAGUUGUAAAUGUUACGAUUCGACUCCCUCUUGUGCUGACAUUGCCGGUGCUGUUGAUAGAUGUUUGUCACGAAAUAGAAGCUCAUCGGACUCAUGAAGAGAAGAAUUUUUGGGAGGAUGAGACAUUCUCUGUGGUCAACAGCUCUCACUCAGAUAGCAGAAAUUUUCGGCUCGAGGAAAUCCAUCAUGGUAACGAAAAUUCUGGCGAGUCCACGUCCAAAAGCUCUAUUGAAUGGAGAAGCUCUGCAAUCCUCAGAGAUUCGGAGACAGAAUAUCCCUUCUCCUCUUCAUCCUGGAGGAGCUCUUCCAACUGGGAAUCGUAUGCACUCUUCCACAAGUAUGACGAGGAGAUGAUGUUCUUCGACCGAAUCAGUUCACGAAAGCUCAGAGAAUCAGGUUCUUCAAUAUAUCCUCCUUGCUAAUUCCCCAACACCCCCCUCUCUUUUUUUUUUUCCAGUCUCAAUUUGGCUUAGUGUAAGCAUUUGCUUUCAGAAUUACUGAGGUCCAUAAAGUACCAAUCAAGAUCAAUUUCCCGAAGGAUAGUUCGCAAAUUAUUCAUGAAAAGUAAAAACUCAUCGAUGAGAGAUAUGGAUCCAUACUUGGAAUUGGAGAGCGCUUAUGUGGCUCAGAUCUGUUUGACGUGGGAAGCUCUUAAUUGGAAUUACACCAACUUCGGUCCAGCGAAUUCCGAUCGAGACAUGGAAGAUUACUGCUUUCCUGCACGAAUUGCUCAGCAGUUCCAGCAGUUUGAGGUCUUGCUGCAACGAUUCAUAGAAAAUGAGCCUUAUGAGCAUGGUAGAAGGCCUGAAGUCUAUGCCCGGGUGAGGAGUUACUCUCCAAAGUUGCUCCAAGUUCCAGAAUUCAAAGGUGCCAUAACUUCCAAGUCCUACUCUAUAGCUGCAAUGCUUUUAUUUCAUCAUAAAUUAUGCUUGAUCUUACUUCCUUGGUGCUAUUUCAAUUGUUUGAUAAAAAGAUUCGGAUCAGGCUGACGAAGGCAAAGAAGAUAUGAUUUCAUCUACUGAAUUUUUAAUUAUUUUGGAACAUGCGAUCCGGACCUUCAUGAAUUUUCUCAAGGCCGAUAAGGAAAGCUGCUGCCAAAUGUUGAGAUCACUCAUAAAGAACCAAUUAAGUUCGGUUGAUCCAACUCUUCUUCAUUUGCUCAAGAAAGCUAAUAAAAAGGUUAGUUGCGCUGCCUAUUUAAGUUCUACCAUUUCGCUUUUUUCGCUUAUCUUUUAUUUGUAGUGUCAUAUUGCUCUUAACAUGAUAUAUAUCUUCAGAAAAAGAUGAGGCUCAAAGAACUUGGGAGGCAGUGGAGAUGUCAGAAGAAAGGGAAGACAAAGGAGGAAGAGGGGAUGGAGAUUCUGAUGGGGCUAAUAGACAUGAAGGUUGUGUCAAGGGUUUUAAGGAUGCCUGACAUCAGCGAGGAGCAGCUGCAUUGGUGCCAUGAGAAGAUGAGCAAAGUGAGAGUUUGGAAUGGGAAAAUACAAAGAGACUCCUCCCCACUUUUUUUCCCCGUUAACUGACUCUUCCCUUGUAUAAUCUACUUUACCUUUUUAGGUUGCUUGAUGACUGGAUAAAGUACUUGGAUAUGAUAUGUACCAAAUAAAAAUUUCUUGGAUAUGAGGACAAGAAUUCCAACCUUCUCUGUAAAUAUAAAGCACCGUAAAGAUACGGAAAACUGAGAGGCAACAUCUAAACAUGGUUGCAUGUGAUGACAUGGAUUUCGAGGAUUUGGAAGCCAUGUCGGGUAUAAAAAGGUGAAACGUCUGUGAUUUCUUCAUGAACAUUGAAAGACAAAGCUAAGUGAAGAAAAGUGAAAGGCAUGAGAGUGGAAGGAGUAGAGAUAGAGACAAAGCGCAACUCCAGCAUUCUUUUGUCUUAUAAGGGAGAUUUGGUAAUGGUCCCUGAAAAUGGGUUUUGGAUCAAAAGAGUUGAAGGCAAAUGGCAAAUCAAGAGUCUAUAUACAAUAUGGAAUGACUUUGUAAAUAAUUUGGUGACUGGGGCUCAUACGUCAUCACAAGUAUUUUGCACAACCUUUGCAUUAGUCAAAAUAUAUGCCCCUCCAAUCUUAAUUAAACAUAUCCAUGGGACAUCAUGUUUAAGACGAAAGGAAAGGAGUUAGUUUAAGAAGUUCUCUUAGUUCCCAUUUACAUCCAAAAAAAAGAAAAAAAGAAGGUUCUCUGUCCCGCCGCUAGUUGAUGUCCCGUCUCAAAUCCGGUUGGAGGUCAGCAACGUACCGUGCACAUGCUUAACCUAUUAGUCUUCAGCAACUUAUUUAACUGCAGAACUAUUCUUAGUAGAGUACAAGUUAAUUUUUAUAGAAUUUGGAGAUGUUUAUUGAUUUUUCUAGGCUAGGUCAUUAGAUUCUUGAUCAUGAUCAUUAGCUACUAAUCAAGUUACUGCAAUAUUACGUGAAGAAGUGGGGGAUCCAUAUUAGCUAGACCAAUCUUAGUUCUAUUUAGUCAAUCAACAAAACUGAACCUGCAGUAAAUAAUAAAAAUAAAUGCAUAGAAUAAAAUACAAUUAUGAUAUCCAAUUAAUUGUUUUUCUUUUGGUCUGAUUGGAGAGAGGAGGAAUUAACUAUUUCGAUUUACUCGACUUAGAUCUCUCAAAAAGAAUAAUAGAAAAUUAAAAAAAAUAAAAUUCUAAAUUAUUUUUUCUUAUUAAUUGAAUAAUAAAAUUGAUUAGAACUUUUUUAUUUGAACUAGUAAGGUCAAUUCUUAUCAAUCUGGGUUGAAUUUCUUUUCUAGGAAAAAGAGAAUCGGUUAUGGCUUUUUUUGAAUAAUCAUGACUAGUGAUGUAGAAAAUAUAUUUAAUCAAAAUCUUACUUAAAAAAAAAAUUACUUUAACUGGUCAACUUCUAGAUCUAAACGUCGUCACAAACUCCUACUUGUGGUGUACACUAUAUCCUCUAGAAGUGGCCCUACCUUUAUAGUAUCUGUUGAGAGGUUCUAGUGUUUGACGUGUUAAAAAUAGAUGCGGAGUAAAAAAGAUGUAGCCCUGGUUAUGGUUUCCAAUCAAAUUCUAGUGCAGUAGUUUUUUUUUUCAAAAUCGUGUCAAGAUAUAUCUAGAAUAACUAGUACUAUAGUAUAGAGAGGAUAUCUUUAAUCCCACAUCAAUUAUGAGUCAAAAAAAAUAUAGUUUAUAUAGAUUGAAAUCUUUUCUUUUCCGUGAGAUCUUUUUUAAAAGACAAAAUCAUGAGCCUCCAUACGACAAUAUUAGAGAUCAAAGCAGACAGUAUCUCAUUUAUGUGAGUGCAGAGGCAUAAGCUAACCAUUCAAGUUAUCCGACCUUGAUCCAUGACCGCAAUAUUGACGCAGUUUGUCGAAACGCCUCCUACCUACACAUACUCUCUUGACGAGAGGCUAUAUUGUAGUGUAGAGAAAGCAUGUUUAGUCCCAAAUUGAUUGUAAGUUAAGAGAAAGUAUGACUUAUAUGGAUUGGAAUAUUCUCUCUCCCGUGAGACAUCUUUUAAAGUCUCCCGUGAGACAUCUUUUAAAGGAUAAAAUCGUGAGUCUCCGUGCGACAACGUCAAAAGUCAAAGCGGAUAAUACCUCACGUAUACAGAUGCGGAGGCAUAAGCCAACCAUUCGAGUCAUCCGAUUUUUUGACCCAUGACCGCAAUAGUUAGAAUUAUCCAUAAUGUAUCUCAUGAUUUUCUUAAGUCAUUUUCACCCAGUAAUUGGCUUUUCUCCCAGCAUGAAGUAUAUAUCUAAAGUACUAUAAGCGGCUUAGAAAUGUCAUGCCUUUUUAUCUACACAAAUCAAGCAAGAAAGAGUAAUCGAUAGGCUCUCUUCUUGUCGAGUAACCAAUGAAUCUCCCUCCUCUCUGUAAGAAAAAUUUAAGCUGAUAAGAAAAGAGCCAAUGAUGUAUAUCUAGUUUAAUACUUCCUCGGCAUACAACCUAGACCAUGCACAUGGAGGUACUGCAAUAAUUGAAAAAAAAUAAGGAUAAAAAUUUGAUAAUCAAAUAAAUAAUUAGUAUAGAGAUGAUUUGAACUCGUCUUCCAGCAAAUUUGUGCUUUGUUACCGUAUUGACUAACUAAUUUAGGCCGUGUGGUUGGCAAAUAUUUUAAGAACUCCAAACCUAAUGGUCAGCCAAGAGAUACUCGCAAUAGGGCAAUUUGUGCAACCCAACCUUCCUACAGGUCCCCUCUAUUGCCUUCCUAAAUUUAUCAUUUCUAAGACCUAGUUUUCAUUUGGAAAAGAAAAUAUUAUGAGAAGAAAAUAGAAAACAAAAAAAGAUUCACUAAAUUAUUUUAGGAGUAACUCAAAUAUAGUACUCCUGCCCACGCGCUCAAAGGAUGUCAUAUUGGGCGUAGAUUUUUCUUUUCUUCCCUUUUUUUUUUUUUCCUUUUCUGCUUUGGUAAUAGAAAAGUGAGAUAACUCAACACAAUCCAAUGAAUGGGAUGCCCCCUCCGUCGGCUCUGAUAUAAUGAGAUAAGCUAGAAGAAAAAUCUUCAAACCAACUUUUUGAUCAGGCCUAAGCCAUACCCCAGCCUACCAUCCAGCUCACAACACAUGGCCCGUUCGUUUGUGGAGUUGGGCUUAGUGAACCAACUUUUUUAGCAGGCCCAAACUAGUGUACCACCAUCCAGCCUAAGUGUCAGUUUGCCGAUGCAAAUGUGGCUACAAAUGAUAAUGUUUCUAAGCGAAAUUCUUUGUGCACCACAGGUGGUUUAUGUGAUUGGUUCAUGUAGCCACCACUUUCUAAUACAUAUUUAAUAUCUACAGUUUUAUUUUUUGAUUUGAAAAUUUUGAAUAACAAAAAUAUCUAUAUCCUUUGUAAAAAAUUAUCUAUAUUAUGAUAUUUUGAAUGUAGAAAGUUAUAAUUUUGACAUAGAAUGUCAUAAUAUGCCACAAGAUAUCACAAUUUUUUCAAAAAAUAAGAGUAUUUUUAUCAUUCAAAAUUUUUAAACGAAAAAAGAGAAUCGCAGGCAUUAAAUGCGCGUUGGAAAGUAGUUGGAUAAAAAUAUCCUUUCUAUAUUAUACAUUCUGAGUUAUAUUAUGACAUUCUGCAUGCAGAAAGUCAUAAUUUGAUAUAAGAUGUCAUAAUAUAUUACAAGUUGUCAUAAUUUUUUGGAUCACAUUAUGACAUCAUGUAUGUAGGAAGUUAUAACAUGUCACAUGAUGUUAUAAUUUUUUUUAAAAACAGAGAUAUUUUCGUUAUACAAAAUUUUUAUAUAAAAAAUAAAACUAUAUAUAUUAAAUAUAUAUUAAAAAAUAAUAACUAUAUAGAUCAAUCACAAAAAAUAAGAUGUUUUACAUCGAAUUUUUUUAUACCGUUCGUAGUACACAAAGAAUUUCUCAUAUUCUUAGAUGCAAUCGGAAGAAAAAAUACCCAACUUGGAAGGCACAUGCGAAAAUGACCUUUGAAACUUUUUUGUUAUAUCCAGACAAGUGGCAGAUCGGAGUAUGAAAAUACUAUUUUUGAUAAAAAAUAUGUCGACAAAAUCGAUUUGACAUCAGAAAAAAUAAUAUGUCCAUUGGAAAGAAGUGGAGCCAUUUAACCCAAAAAAAAAGACAAAAAUAAAAUGAUCUCCUCCAGUAAAAUGAAAAAUUGGGUGCAAAUGAGAGGAGCACUAAUAUUUGAUUCCUUCAAAAAUAAUAUAUGGGUUAAAUUGAAAUAAAAUGGAGUUGAUAAAUGUACUCUUUAUUAUGUCAUAUCAAAAUUUAUCUUAAAUUCUCAACUAAUUAGUUCACGUGGUAACCAAUUCGAAUUGGAUCGGACUAGAUCAAAUACAAAUUAGGUCACAUAUCGGUUGGAUAAAAUAUUCAUCAACUCGAAUCCGAUAUAUUUAUUAAACAUAUCAAAAAUUUAGAUUUGAACAUGAUUUAUUUAUUAAACAAAUAACUCAAUCUGAUUUAUAUAAUUAAUGUAUUAAACAAGUCAAUUCAGAUUAAACGAAUCGGAUUAAAUAGGUUAAAAAUAAAAUAAAUAGAUUUUAUAUGUGCUAAAUAAAUUUUAAACAGAUUAAAUAGAUCGAAUUAUUAUUCGAACUAAUUAUUAAAUAAAUUAAAUAAAUUAAAAUGGAUAAUAUGGAUCUAAAGUUUAAACCUAUAUUUAGCCUAUUUAAUAAAUAUGUUCAAAAAAUUUGAUCUAUUUAUAAUUUAAAUUUAUUUAUAUCAAAUCCAAAUAUAUUUAAAGCAGAUUAUGUACCAAUCAAAUUGACAUAUUAGAUCGUAACUUGUCAUCCAUUCGUUUAACUUUGAAUUGACUUGAUAUGAUUUGUUUAGAUUAUUUUAAUUUAUACUUAGAUUAUUGGUAGAUUAUUGAUCAAUAAUUUUGAUACUUAUCAUCCAAAUAGUGGAGGUUACUCGUUUAAGUUUUGGAGAUGAAUUUUUGAUAUUUAAAAUAAUUUCUAAAUGACUUCUUAGAAAUGAUCAGCAAUACCCUCAUUAUUCUAAAAAAAAAUAGAUAUGAUGGUAACAUGUAAAUUUCUAUAUAUCCAUCAAAAAAGAAAAUAUAUACGGCUAUAAAUAGAUUGAGUUGGAACAAGAUCUAGCAAGGCCUAAAUGAUAACCUUUUUGGGUCCUACAGCUUAGGCCCAUAUACGAUCCGCAAAGAACAUGGAACAAGGUUGUUUAGGUGACAUCAACUGACCUAAUUGUGAUCCAAAUUAGGCUUAUUUGAGUUGGUUGCAUGCAAUCAAAUCUUUGAGUAGAUAAAGCUUAGACUAGGUGAAUUAUCAAGGCAGCAACGUCUCGCUCCACGGUGACUCGGAGAAUCUUUUAAUAAUUUUCGCAUUCCCCGUCAAUAUUUUAAUAGUUUUUAAAAUCUAAAAAUAAACGAAUUAAUGACAUGUCCCCUAGAAGAUAAUUCUGCCCCCGACAAUAGAGCUUUCGUUUUGUCGGACCGAAAUUGAAAUUUCGGGUUUGACCAAAAAGAAAUUGGCGCUUCUACCCUCUUGCCUUGAAACUUGUGGAACAAUGCAUGUCGCAGGAUGGAUAUACGAAGAAACGCUCAAAUGAACAAUUUGGGUGGACGAGAAAUACUACCACUAAUCCAAGGGCCAAGAAAGGCUUCAAUUCCACGCGUCUUUCUCUAGCUCAGGAGCCCAUGGACAGCGCUGGUGUCAAUCCGCCCCACCCGGUCUCUUAAAGUGUUGAAGCCUUGCGCGGAUCAUCUCAUCCCUCUCGAUUCUUGACCGUGGAAAAACGGCCACGAGAAGGCGUAGGCGUGGGGAACAGGAGAAAGGGGGAAAAGAGAAGAGCAUAGGAACAGCAGCCCCUCUUAUUUCUUUCCAAGCUUCCGGUAAGACUCAUCCCUCCCGUUUUCUCCUCCAAAUCCCCUCGCAAUCCAAGAUUCCUUUCUCUGCUCUCGCCCAAAUCAAAUCGGUCAAGAUCAAGAAUCGCCAACCACCUCCGCUAAAAAGUCCAAUCUCUCGCUUUUCCUUUUUGUUAAUCUAUAAUCUAUUAUGUAAAUAAAAACCCGGAACUUUUCUCGCUUUAUAAAUGGUUUCAAAGCCUCCGGCCUUCGCCAACCUCUUUCGUCCGCCUCCCACGCACGGUACUUCUUCGCACCCGGUUCUCUUUCCUUUUUUCCCCCGACCCUUGGAAUAUUCUUGGUCUGACCUUUAAUAGAUUAUAUUAGGGUCGGGAUCUCCUUCGACCAGCACCAGAAGAAAAAGAAGAAGAAGCAGCCGCCGGCGAAAGAGGAGGAGGAGGGAGGAGGAGGAGGCAGAGGGAGAGUCGCCGCAGCCGUCCCUCCAAUGACGGCCGUCACGAGGUGGGAGGGCGUCGACGAUAGGCUCGCCAAGAUGAUCACCGAGGCCAAUCUCGACCAGGCCCCCGAGCGCCGCAGGGUCCGGGAGGCCUUCAAGGACGUCCAGCUCGGCAUCGACCACUGCUUGUUCAAGGUAUCUUGUGUCUAUAUCUAUAUCUUUCUGUCUUGAAGCCAUGCUCCACUUCAUUCGUUUCGAUUCUUGUAGUCCUUAGUGUUCUUUUACUGGCACGGUAUGAUUGUGCAACAAUCUGAGGUAUGAUAUUGAUGUUCGAGUUUCUUUAGCCUUGGGAAAGAAUGGCGAGAGCUUGAAAUAAAGACGGAGUAUCAUGAAAGAUUAGUUGAUUGAGUAUCGACUUGUAGGGUGUGUCAGAUUUGCCUAUGGGUUACAAUAAAAAAAGAAAAGAAAAUGAUUUGCCUAUGGGAAUGCUUGGAAUUAGGGAUUUGAAGUGAAUGAUUCUUGUUAAACAAAUUUUGGAAAUCAACAGGAAGUAUGGAGUUUAUGUCUGCUUGGAGUGCUUCUACCUACUUUUGGGCAUCUUGUUCUUCCUACCAGUUGUCACCAAUGAAAAAAAGGUGUAGCGGCAUAUUGAACGGGUGGAAACCUGCUGGUUUUUUUAGUCUUUUUCAUAUGCAGUGGUGGAAACCUGCUGGUUUGUAUGGUCUUUUUCAUAUGUAAUGGUGGAACCCUGCUGGUUUGUGUGGUCUUUUUCAUAUGUAAUGGCGGAAAAAGAAUGGAAUAGCGCAAGUGGUGCUCUUUGUCGGUCAUUUGUGAGUUGGAGUUUGGCAUGGUUACCAUAAAACAUGCUGUCAUAUUCUUGUCCACAAUUUGGAUGUCUGGCAGCUAAAAAAUGCUAGAGUUAACUAUUUUUGUUAGUGGGUGCGAUUGAGAAAAGUGAGAGGAAUUGUUGUCCAUGGAUGUAUCUGCCAUUCAUAUAAUGCUGAGUAAAUUUUGAUUUCUAGUUUCCCUUCUUCUAAUAAAGUCAAUUCCAUCAUGAAGUUACCCACAAAAAAAAAAAAGAAAGCCAACUCCAUCAUGAGAUUAAUGGGAUUCAGGAAAAACAUGCUUGAACAUGUUACGAGAACCAAUACUUAAUUUUCUUAAAUAUAAGGUUAUCUGCAAACUGUCCAUCACCAAAUGCAGUGAGGUGGUACAAUUUCUAAACUAUAAAAGAAAUAAAUUUGAACUGAUGAGAAUGAAAACCAAUAUUGCAAUUUUGCAAGCAACAAAUUGGAUAUCAAAAGGUACUGGCUCCAAUUUGGAUGUUGGUGUGAAAGAUAGAAUUGUAGAUAUGAAAUAGUACAAGAUGAAUGGACAACUAUUAACAGAUUAGUGCUAAUAGUUUUUGAUGCUUAAGCAUUUGAGGUUUUAUUCUUUCAAUAAUAAAAAAAAAACUUAUGGAAAGAUUUUAUGCAUGAUAGACUUUCAAAUCCGGUAACUUCUGGGACUAGAGAUUAUCUUCUAAUCGGCUAAAGCAAUAUUAUAUUAUCAAAUUGGAAGUAAAAAAAAAAAGGGAAGAGAAGGGCAAAGAGAAGAUGAAUGUAUAUAUAGAGAGAAGCAGAAGAAAAAUGUUGAAAAGAAGAUAAGGAAAUGAGGAUUUGGUUGCAAUAGCAAAAAAUAAUUGUGGAUAUUGGUCCUCAUGAGGCCAUCAAACCUGAGUUUAAAAUAGCUAGGAUGUGGUAGUCCUGCUUGAAGAUGGUGGUUGUAGGAGUGGAAUAGGUGAAAUGCCUCUUACAAGAUAGCUGCCCUCUGUAUUGUACACAUGGUUUGCGUAUUGUCAAGUAUCAUCUGGUAUAGGAUGUACUGUAUCAUACCGGUCUUGUAUCGGUAUACUAUCUUAUACCAUACCGACGUUCGGUACGCUAUCUCAUAUUGUAUAGAACUGCAUACCAAUAAUAUAAUAUGAUGGUAUUGGUAUGAGGUCUGAUACUAAGAUGGCGAACCUUGACUAUAAGUGCACUUCUCCAAGAAGUCAUCCCAUUAUUGUAAACUCCUAGGUAAGGGCCAUGGCAUAUGCACCAUGGGGUAAAUUUCUUCCUUUCUUUGCAUAUCAUCCAGAAAAUGUAGCCCAAGGCAACAUUGCAUGACUUGAUGCAAGCAUUGGAGCUAUACAAGAUACUACUAAUCAAAUAACUAAUACACGUGUCUUCAAACUAAAAUAUUAAUUAGACAUAUCAAAUAAGUUAAAUUUCUCACUCCAAACCCAUCUUACUGAAUACAGUUGACACCAUUAUGGAGUUCAAUGUAAGCCUCCAAUGUUGAUAAAAUUUGGUUAGAGGUCUCCUUUUCCUUCUAAUUUAAAGCUCUGGCCUUUGAGCCUCAUCCUACUUGGUCAUAUUUCUUUCUGUGGUUUAGUAAUAAUCUUUAUUCUGUCCUUCGGUAAUUGUAUUAGCUAGUUCUCAUAAACAUUUCUUUAGUAAGGAGCAUUCAUCAUUUUAAGGGACUUAUUGUAUUUCUAUUUUCUUACUGUUUAUCCAUGAACGUUUAUGGGAAAAAUACUCAUAAAUUUUCCUUCGUUUGUAUAACAGGCACAGUAUAGUGGAGUGAUAAUGAAGGAGGUAAUAAUUUUUUACAUAUGUACAGUUUGUUCUUCAUGGCUUAAAUAAAUUAUAUAUGAUGGUAAACGGUCAUAGUUGAAUAAUGAAUAAGAGCCCUAAUCACAUGAUAGUGGCUUGAAAUUGGUAUUUGUCAUCAUGUUCCUUGUACCAAAUGGCAUUUUUGCUAUAUGUUCUUGCCUCAAAGUACUAUACUUAUUAAGUUAUUUAUAUAUAGUCAUACGAGGUGAAUUCUAGAGGUUUGGAAAUCUUCUCCAAAAGUUGGCUUCCAGAAGGGUCUAAGAUGAAGGCACUGAUUUGUUUCUGUCAUGGUUAUGGAGACACGUGCACAUUUUUCUUUGAAGGUAUGUGUUGUUCCCUUGCAGCUUAUAAUCCUGAACAUGCAUUAGUUCUUAUAGUAUCUUUGAUAGAUUGCAUUACUUAUAACUACAUAUAUCACAAACAUGUUUCUUAAAGGGAUUGCAAAAAAGUUAGCAACAUCUGGAUAUGGAGUUUUUGCAUUGGACUACCCUGGAUUUGGUCUUUCAGAAGGACUUCAUGGAUAUAUACCAAGUUUUGAUACCCUGGUCAAUGAUGUAGCUGAGCAUUUCUCUAAAAUCAAAGGUAUGAUAUUGCCUCCCGCCUCAUUAAGGAACUUCUUCUAACCAUUGAAUACAAAUCAUAUGACACACUCUUUUCUUGCCACUCGUCAACAUGUUGAUGCCCAUGUUGCCUUUUUAAAUUUUGAGCAUGCUGCAGCUUGGGCAAUUCUGGUCAGAUCCAUGGGAAACCUGAGGUUGUUCCAAACAAAUUUGCAACCUUAAAGUGAACAAAGCAGACUUCACUAUGACUCUAUACUAGAUUGAGCAUCCAAUUUGACUCCAAAAUUUUCAUUCCAAACAUGAAGAGUUGGGCUAAAUAGGGCAGGUUUUGGUUCUUGUCAGUUAAGGUUGCCUUAAUAGGACUUUGAUUGUUCAUGCACAAGAUAAUUUCGUCUUGGCUGAUAGUUUCAGGUUAGUUUUGUGUAGUUCCACGUCUGGUUGUGUUGAAUGCAGCCAGAACUGUAGCCAGGUUGAAUUAUUCUGUCCCAAACCUGACCCUAGUUUGGUACUUUGUUCUGACCUAACUUAAACUAUGGGUUACGUAGCCUUGAGUAUAGGUUCGUUAACCUACGUUUUUGCGCCUCUUUAUCAAAAAUUCAAGAUUAAGUUGUGAGAAAUGUUGUUAGUCUAAUUGUUGAAUUUUUAAAUGCAAACAUACUGUAAAAGAAAAAAAGAAUAAGAAAACAUGGCUUAUACCAUCGAACUGGAUUUGACCUAAUGCAUCCUAUUUCACCACGAGCCUUGCUAUUACCUAAUCCUCAAAACCGCAAACCUGUCUUGAAAAUGUUUUUUACUUCCUCCAUCUAAGUUUGCUUUCGUUCUUUGGGGUUUUUGAUAUCCAGGCAAGACAUGGUUGACACUUAAUUGAUAAGCGAUUGGCUGUCAAGAAGUCAGUUUCUCUUACAAAUUUGAACAGAUAUUUUUAAUAAGGGAAUAAGGGGAUUUAAUUUCAGCAUUCACUGGUCAGGGAUUUGCAGAGGAUUGGAAAAAUUUAAAUAAUUCUAAGUUCGACUCUUUUAUGUUUUCUCAUUAAAGGAGAAAUAAAUGGCAAGUUGCAUCCAGUAAAAGGUUUUUAGGAACUAGGUUUUAGGUAAAUAAGGUCUAUGCGAGUUAUCAGGUUGAGAAUAGGAUGUAGACACAUUAUAUUUACAUUGUAAAAAGAUUCUGAUAAACUAAUUAGAUCCAAAGUUUGCUGUCUCGGUAUUGGACUUGUAGUCAUGUACCAGUACCAUUGUAUUGCGGUGUUGGUAUGUGUUUCAGUACGGUACGAGAUGGCAUAUUAAGUGUCAAUAUAGUACGAUACAUUGUACCGGUGGGAGACACCGUAUCGGUACAAGACUGGUAUGAUAUGAGGUGUACCCUGCUAUUCGGCCUGGUACAUCAUUCCAUUAUCAGAUCUAUUAUGUACAGAAAUAAGGAAAGAAAAAGUAGGUAGAAAUAGAUUGAUAGAUUGAGAGAUGUGAGAAGGAGGACAUCUGAAUCGAGGAAUCAAGAGAAGGAAAGGAGUAUAUGUCUAUGUAUGGGGAUGGCUUUUUAGUUCCUAGGUAACAACUAUCUUUGUUGUUCCCUGUGCAUAAUGACAGAUUUUACCUUUUUAUCUUCACACACUUUUGGUCUUGCACAAAAGGCUUCUCUCAUGAUUGUCAUUAAAUUUCUCAUGAGAUUUUAGCUCAAACUACUGAAAAACGACUACUGGUUCAAGCGAGAGACUACCUUUUUCCCACCUUUCUCAAACCUACUAUUACAUCCAUUUCCUGAACAUCAGCCAUCACCACGUCUUUGUCCUCUAUCGUUCAUCUGGCCCACAGACCACUCCCCAGUUCCCCAUUUCUCUCUUGUUGCUUUUCUCACAGCCUCUCUAUUCUUUUCUUCUAUGGCCACCCACUUGUGCUGUCUCCACCCUCUGUGGCCACCUACCACAAGCCAUGAUAUGUGCCCUUUCUCUGCCUAUUAGCAUCACCUAUGGCCCCCCUCUAGAAUUGCUCACAAUUUGCUCUCAUCUCUCAUCACUUUCACCAUUGCUCCAAAGUCUGAACUGUCACCUUCAGACUGAUUCCACCAUCACCUACAAUAUUAUCUACAUCCCAUACUUUCCUUCACUCAUUGAAAAACAAAGGAUGAUCUAGACAUUUUGCAACACCCCACAUAUUCUUCCUGCCUCCCCUUCCUUCCACCACUCAUGCAUAUAAAUCUCUCCCAGUUCCAAUCAACUAAUAUCUUGUCAAAAUUUCUUGUGAUGUCCAUGUGUUCGUUCUAAUCAGUUGGGAUAAUGACUAGGCACUUGGUGCUAGAAUGGUAGACAAGACUCUUAGGUUGCGUUUGGUAGCUGACAAUCUAUACAGAUUAUUGGCAAUUUAAAGAGACCCCACCAGAUUACCACGUUUGGUAUGUUUUUUGGAUUGGUAAUCCAGAUUACCUCUUCUGAGAUAAUCUGGAUUACCAAAGGGAGGGGUGGCUAUCCAGAUUAUCACUACUUUGGUAAUCUUGCAAUAAAAUUUCUGGAUGAAAUUGCCCUCCUCCCCUCCCCCUUUCUUCGUGUGGUGCCACCCGUCGCUCGCUCAUGCCUCCUCUCCCCCCCUCCCUGCCCAAUGCCACCCGUCGCUCGUCUGUGCCUCCGACGGCCCUGCCGUCUUUUAUGCUGCCAUCAUGGCCCUUGCCAUCAUCCUCCCCGCCGCCACCAUCCAUCCCACAGUCUUCUUCCUCACGAUGGGCAGCGAAAAGAGGGAGGCCAAAAUUGGUGCCCUCCUUUACAAAAUUCGACCGGCGACGGUCGGAAACUAGCCGCCGACGGUUGCCAUCGCCAUCGUCUUCUUAACAGCAGCUGCCAGCAAUCAAGGAAAAAUCACCGGUCUAUUAAGAUCCGGCGGUCUCAAGGGGAUGACCGCCCGUGGAAAAAGGAGACAGCCAUCCGAUCAUCUCUUUCCUCACCUUCGUCGCCUUCUUCCCCUGACAUGGCCUCCAGUUGGGUGGGUGAGGGCGGCGACGCAGAUGGGUGAGGGCAGCGAUGGAGGUGGCCGUAGGGUGCGCGGGGUGUGGGUUCGCCAGGAGGCCAGGGGGCGGUGCGGGAGGGUGGGAGGAGGCACGGACGGUCGGGGGGCGGUGCCGGAGGUGCAACGGUCGGGGGGUGAUGCCGUACGGCUGAGGGUUAGGGGUGGAGGGGGGAGGGGUGUGGCGUGUGGGGGAAGGAAAAGGAAGAAAAAAUAAAAAUAAUAAAAUAAUAAUAAUAAGUAUUAAAAAAUAAUGAAAAAAUUAAAUAAUUUGAUUAUUUAAUUAAAAAUAAUUUUUUUCAUAUAAUAAUUUUUAUCAUUAGAAAAAUUAAAUAAAUAUUUUAAAAUGCUAAACUAAUAAUAAGGAUAUUUUGAAAAUUUGAUGUUACAUUACCAGUAAUCUGAUUGUCAUACCAAAUAGGUCAAUUAAGAUUUUCAGUAAUUUUACUGCAACAUUAUGUGCAUGUACCAAACACGAUAAUCAACGUUACUGGCAAUCUAUCCGGAUUGCAGAUAAUCCAGAUUACCACUACCUGACAAUACACCAAAUGCAACCUUAUAGUCAUGGAAUAUUGAACUCAAGAAUUUUCUCUUGUGACCUAUCCCAUGCAUCAAAGAAACCAAAUUUUUAGUGAUUUGCUCAUUAUAUGUGCCAUCUAAAUUUUAUUUGCUAAUAGUGAAAAUGUUUAAUGUAACCAAAUGUCCAGGAUAGCUAUCCUAAGCUUCAAAGGUACUAGAGCAAUAAUGAGUAUCCCUGAAUUACUGCAGAUGCAAUUAUUGUGCUAUUGGUGUUGAUGUAAAAAUUAAGUGGUAUCUAAGACAAAGAACAUGUAUAUCAGCUCCAUGUUUAGUAUCAUGGAAGAGCAACAUACACUAGAAUAGAAAUGUUUUCUUUUAGUAGUGAUGACUAGAAAUAUCCAAGAACCAAUGAUCUUUUCAAGGAAUAAUGACAUAAAGUAAGCCCACUUUUGAAUGAUGCACAGGUUGUUGGUUCAAGGAUAUAGGAAGUAAAGAUGAUCAUAGAAUGUAAACCUUAUGAUAGAGAUAGGACUUUGCCCUUUGAUCAGAAACUAAGAGGCCUAUUUUUUUUUAAAGAUUUUUAAGACCUUGAGAGAUCCAAUUAAUAAUGUACUUUUUUGAAGGACUGGCGAGAAAUUGAGAGUUUGUAGUUUUACUGUCACUUAUAUGUGGAAUGUGUUUCUUAGCUGGUUCUUUUGUUGCUCAAAGGCAACUAAGUCGAACAAGCAUCAAAGUGUUUACGCAACUAUUGUAGUGGAUUUUUUUCCAUCCAAAGAAAAGACCCUCCUAUAGUGGCUUUUGACAUUUGCUAUAUAUGAAGAGUUAUGCAUCUUCCUCAGAAAACAAAAGCACAAAGGGAAGGGGGGGAGAGAGAGAGAGAACUAGUGAAAUUUGUAAUUAUAUAUGUGGAAGCGUGUCAUCCCCAUGGAUUAGAGAAAACUCCUUUCAUUUCAUAGUAUUCCUUCGUAUCAUUGAUUCAUACAAAAUUUAUGCUUGACAGAAAAGAUUUCAUGGAAAAGCCAGCAAAAAAUGAAUGAUUUUGGGUUGAAGUAUGCAAGGUCACUAUAAACAUCUAGCAUAGACACUUAUAUGGGUUAUCAAAGAUUCUGUGAGCAAGAGAGAAAUUGACACUAGAGAACAGAAAUCAAAGGAAUUGAAGUGCAGUUUAUCCAAAAGCUCAAUUGGAAUGAAGGGGCCAAUAGACUAUGCAAGUUGGGUACGAGGAGGGUGGUUUGGUGGGAUAUGGUGGAGUAACUGGCAGCAAAUACUCACAGGAAUAAGGAGAUAAAAGGGUAAUGAUGUGGUGUUUGGAAGUGGGUGGAAGGGGCCAGUAGUGGUGGGUGUCGGGAGGCAGAAUAAAGGACAGAAAAGAGGAAGAUGAAACUUGUCACAUAUUUCAAGCUUCAGGACAUAUGCCUUCAAAAUCUCAUGAGAUACUUUUUUCUAAUGCAAUAUAGUUGCUCCAAAUUACCAAAAGUGCCCAUUGAUAUCUAGGACAGCUAACUUUAUAAGGGCAUGAUCUGUCCUUUUAAACAGAGGACAUCUUGCUUCAUUGUUCCCUAGGAACAGUAAAGCUGUGCCAUACACACAGGCACACAGAUAAGAACCUUCCUUACUCAUUAUUCAGUCUGCUUUAUUUUUUAGAACCUACAAGAAAAGAAAAGGAGGGAAACAAAAUGAAAAUUUAACUAUUUUGAAGAAAGCAUUGUAUUCCUAUUGAUGGAGGAUAGCAUAGGCCCGACCUUUUUUAAACUUGUGUCAAAUACCUAGUAGAGUUCUUAAGCAAUAAAUAUGAAUCACCACAACAUACUGUCAAUAUUAAUGAUUCUUUGCUGAUUUGAGAACCUCUUGAGUGAUAUAUUGGAAUUAUAGGAAUUAUAAUCCUCAUCAUAAUCAUCUAGCCUUUUCCCAACUCUUUGGGAUCAGCUUAAUGGAUUCUUAUUUGCCAAGUAUUCCUAUCUAGGGCCACCUUUGAUGUUAUUCAAAGUUUCUCCAUAUCCUUCCUCCCAACCUACAUCUGUGUUAAUUUAAGUCUUCCUUUUCUUCUUAUAAUCUUUGAUACAAGCUCAAGUAACUCUCCUUACAUGAGCCUACUCAGAUCUUUGCUGUACAUAUCCAUACCAUUGAAGAUCUGAAAGGAUCCUCAUGAGUCAUACAUUAGAAAGAAUAAAAAAGGCAAAGGAUGCCAUGCACAUUUCUGAUUGCUGUUUAUUAUCAAAAUUUUAGAACAAGAAAGUGUGUGGGGAUUAUAUUUGAGGAUUUGGCUAAAUGCAUCUUAGAUGAUAGAGAUUAGUAGUUAAGUUUACAACAUGAAUUGGCUAGCUUUCUAGUUUUAGGGCUGGCUCGUGCUGGUGGUUUUGUUUGAUGGCUGGUUGAAAAGGAGAUAGAAGUCAGGGCUUUGAAUUUGAUUUUAGGACUGCUUUUUGGUCUAUGGUUGCAAAAAUAAGAAAAGGCACUGAGAAAUAGAGGGUACCAAUUGAAGAGAAUAGACAGAUAGAGAGGGGUAUCUUGACUUGCUUCCACAAGCUCUCAGACCAUGAUCAUUUCUCCAAACCAAGGCAAGGGAGAUGGCGCAGAGGGAGGAUGGAAUUGUGUAAUAGAGAUAGGAUGUCUAGGGUUUGUGAAAAUUCAGUAGGGUUUUGGAUUUAGUUGAGAUGAUAAUAAUGUGUAGGCAUUAUAUGUUUUACAUUAAUAAAUAUAUCAAAAUAAUGAUACCAAAUAAUAUAUAGCUUCAGGUAAGCUAGGUUGAUAUACUUUCUAGCUAGUUUGAGCUUAGCCUAAUGUAAUCCAGCCACAUUUUCAAGCAUUGGCUUGUUGAUCCGAUGGGGCAUAUUCCUUUUGUCCAUGCCUGCCCAGCAAGGCAGGCAAGGCACGUAGGCUAUGGGGCCUAAUUUUCUUAGUUGAAUCCAGGAUACUUUCAGAUACCUUUUUCUUUUCCCUUUCUUUGGUGGAUGUAGAUACAAUGACAAUGAACAGUUAAUUUUAAGGUCUUGUUUGGAUGCUUCCACAAGGCAUCCACCGAAUAUACUAUAUAUGGUGGUGGCUGGGAAGAGUUUAGUUGGGGAGAGUGCAUAAGAAAAAGAGUAUUUACAUCUGAGGGAAGUUUUGAUCUGUCGAGUCCCAAAAAAUGGGGGUACCGGAAAUCAGUAGCCAUAAAUUUCGGGAUUUGUUGGUUUGCAUGAUCUUCCAACUUGAUCAAGUUUUCCCCCAGUGGCAGCCUUUCUCCAUGACAAAUUCGGUUUUGUGAAGACAUUGCCAGGUAGAUGGUCCGGACAUCCAAAUAGGGCCUAAAUAUUUUGAUGUUCAUGUUAUUUAGUGGAGUGUGAAUAUGGAUUUAAAUGAUUACUAGAAGAUUGAGUUUGUGGACAUUGAUGUAAUUGUAUAGAGUACGAAUUAUGUUACUGCGAUAGUGCAUUAUGCUUUGUUGAUGCAUCUCAACAUGUGAAUAUGUAUAUCACUAUAGCGUCAUCAUAUCCUAUCCUAAUUUGUUCCAAUUUUUGUUCUAUAGACAUAUCUGUUUUUUGAUGUAUCCAUAUCCUGUAUCCAUGUCCAUGCUUCAUAAUUUAUAAGCUAGGGUUCUCUUGCUAAAUCGAGAGACAACACCCAAAAAACUA